This 63312-nucleotide long non-coding RNA is filed under the name Pelobates cultripes (western spadefoot toad). The record is from RNAcentral. Lineage: Eukaryota; Metazoa; Chordata; Amphibia; Anura; Pelobatidae.
GGUGGUGGCUGCAGGUUUGCUGCUCACAGCUGAGCAUUGCACACACAGUGCUGGCAGCAGGUUUGUUGCUGGUCCUUUUCUGUGUCGGUAGCAGCUCCCUGUCUGUCUGUCUGGCAGAGAUUCAGUCAGGCAAGGCUAGGGGGUGCCUUGCUGCAGCAGCUUACAUCCUCAAUGUCUCCCCUGCGAAGCUGCUUCUCCUCCCCGGUCCAACUGCGUCCACCUCUGAUCCCCAGGCCAUCCUUGCUUGGCCUCCUACUGCUUGAACUCCUUGUCCUGCUGCUGGAGGAGGAGGAGCAGCAGCUGGCUGGGAGCCCCCGGACUCACACCUCCUCCAGCACCCUCCAGGCUGAGGGGCAAGUAAGGCAAGAAAAUGAAGUCACAGGGGGGAGACCACUCCAUGAUCAACCUGUCUGUACAGCAAGUACUGAGCCUGUGGGCACACGGGACAGUGCUGAGGAGCCUGACCGGUGAGUGUGAAAUUAUUAUUAUUCAUAAAGCGCCAACAUAUUCCGCAGCGCAGUACAAUAGGUGGACUAAGAAACAAGUCUUUGCAACAAGACAAGGUGGACGUAAAUGAACAGAAGAUGAUGAGGGCCCUGCUCAUAUGUUAUUUUAAAGGGAGUGGGAUGCUAGUGGUUGGUACUCAUGCAGUGUCUGUGACAAAGCACCAUCCCCUGUGAAUUGUAUGAAGAGGCAGUACUAAGUGUGACUGUCAGCCUCUUAAUACAAUUAAUAAGUUAACUAAGAUCUGUUAUCUGUUUUAAGAGCAUUGAUAGUGUUGCACUGGUAGACAUCAGCAGAAAAUCUUCAAUAAAUGAGGUUGACUUAUGUUCUUAAUGCAUUGUUUUUCCCAAAUACAAUAUCCCCACAUACCUCCACGUAUACUGUAUUACCAAUAUAAGAGUAUCCUGCUUCCUUGGAUUGACAAAUAAUUGCUUAUUGGAUAACAAACGUGUACAAGACACAAUAACUAUAAAUUAUAAGACUAGGAAUAAAUCUGGGGCAAAAUGAAGGAUGCAAAGAAAAUGGCCUUGUAACAAUAUAUUUAUGGCUUCAUUGCUGUGUAAUCAGUUGUUAUCCACCUUAGGUGUUUGUAAACAAAAUCUUCUAUUUUACUGGGCCCUGGGCAACUGUGAAAAGUGAGGGGUUUAUUUAUUAGACUGUGGUGAACUGAAAUCACAAUUUCAUUUAUUAGGGCAAGUUAGAAAGAGCUGAUUUGGACGUUUUUUCCCUGUCGCCUCUAAUUUGGCCUUGAAUUGCCAAUAUGCCACAAAUCACUGCUUAGUAAAUAAACCCCUGUGACUUUCUGUGAGUGUACUUUAUUCAAUAGUACACCAUCAUAGCAUACAAAUUAAGGCUCCUGUUUUAAGUAAACACAUAUCUUGCACUGUAAUGUUUUGUUUUGUUUUAUUGCCCAUGUAUGUCUUUAGCAAUCUGUACCUAUCAUGCUAUCAUUAGUUAGUUGAGGGGAGCAAUAGCUGAAUGUCAUGUUUGUGAAUGAAAUAGGAUUAGCUGUUUUAGAAAAAAACCUUGAAGAAACAGUGUAGGCAUCAUAACCAUUAAACAGAGUAGUUACGGCUCUAUUAGGCUGCAGGUGUUAACAUAUAGACAAAAUCAAUACUUCUAAUGCAAAAGUUGAACUUCCGCAUUAGAAAUAGGUGAACAGGGGGCCAUGCUGCUUGUGCCCUGGUACUACUGGUUUGGUCAAACUGCUUGAUAAAGCUUAGUUCAAAAGAGAGCUAACGAAAGCUCCUGAUAGGUGCUCACAGCUCUCAUUGGAUUAAAGUAACUGGUACCCAUAAGGAGCCCAGGCAAGAGGUCAAACUGUUAGCAAAUAGCAAACAUGGGAAUGGGAAGGGGGGAGGGGAGCCAGGGCUCUCCUGUCAACAUAGCCACUAUAGUGAUAAUUGAGUUUUAAGUGUUCCAUUACAUUUUAUCUCUACUGUUUCAUCAGUUCAAUAAUGCUCUGUUAAUUAUUACAUGCAAAUAGUAUACUAUGGUAAGAAUGUUAAAGCAAAAAAAAUAAUUGUGUAUGAAACAUUUACAUUCAUAUAUAACGUGUGGUUUCAUUUGACAUUUCCGUCUCUAGUAAAUAAAAGGUGGGAAACAACAAUUGGAAGUGGUUUACAUACCAUGCUGCAGCUUAUUCAAUCAAUUCUAUUUGCUUUUAUAUUAAUUUGAUCAGGUUAACCUAAUUUGCACACAGACGAAAGGUUGUCCCAAUGUGAGGAUAAUGUCACGAUUAAUUCUAGUUCUGGAAUUUCAGGAAAGUUCUAAAUGCAUAUUUCAUUCUCAUGAGUCUACUCAGAAGCCAAAACAAUUGGAUGAAUUAGCAAACACACAGUAUAUCCAUUUUAGCCAUAGUUAUUGUAUGUACCCUCUCUGGAGGAAGAACCAGCCAAAUUAAGCAUGGGCGCUGGUAGGAGGUAUAUUAACAAUUCAAUACAUAGCCCUCUCUUUCUUUUAAUUUUUGCCUUUACCAAAUACAGACUAAAUAUCUUAAAUGUGUAUUUUUGUUAUAAGCUAAUCUUUCAUGCAAACAAGUCAAUUCCAUUCAUUAAGAAUGGAAGAAAUCUGACACUACUUAUUAAAGCGGCUGUAUCACCUUCUGGGGUCUUUGCAUAUUUUGCAAAUGCCCCAGGUGGUAACUGCUCCACUUGCAUGACGGUGGCUGCAGGGUGCAGGGCAAGGUCAUUAUUACUUAUCUGAACCUUCAGGAGCUGAGAUUUGCUAGAGUACAACACUGAUGUUUAUGGAGAAUCUCACAGGAGCCUUUUCCCUCUCAGCCAUCACUAAAGGCUUGACAAAAGUUAGCUCUGUUUUUGUCAAGUGUAGGAAAAAUACAUAACACAAAUUAGUCACUCCAAAAUAGUCUUUAUCAGCAUUUCAUAAAUAUUUAUGCCUCUGGUAAGUCACUGAAGGGGUUUUCACCCCUUCAGCAACCGGGGAUUGGGGGGUGGGAGGGAGAGGGGACCUGCAGUGCCAGGAAAACAUAGAAACAUAGAAUGUGACGGCAGAUAAGAACCAUUCGGCCCAUCUAGUCUGCCCAAUUUUCUAAAUACUUUCAUUAGUCCCUAGUCUUAUCUUAUAGUUAGGAUAGCCUUAUGCCUAUUCCACGCAUGCUUAAACUCCUUUACUGUGUAGUACCUGGGGAGCUGGGGGGGUGCCGUUGAUGUGGAGCAAGACGCAGCAGCAGAAGAGGACUCAGCCGAGGAGGUUAUGGAAGAGGAUGGAGUAGGAGGAGUAGAGGAGGUGGCAGCAGGCCUGCCUGCAAGUCGUGGCGGUGUCACCAACUCCUCUGCAGAGCCAGGCAUUCCAUGCUUGGCAGCCGUCAGCAGGUUAAAAUCUCAUUGUACCAAUUUCUCAGUAACAGCGACUAAAUCUACACUAUCAGUUGCCAUUAUUGCCACAAGUUCAUGGAUCUUAUUCCCUAAACUGCGAGUAUUUGUAGACAUGACUCUAAGCUUAUCAUUUUUUAACACACUUGCUACAGGCACCUUCUGUCCUUGUUUUGGGGGACAAUUGGAUUGAUGUUUUAUCACCCUUUUGCCCCCCCCUCCUAGUUUAAAUACAUCCUAGCAAAACCUCUGAAUUGCUCACUGAGAACAUUUGUUCCCUUUUGAGAAAGAUGCAAACCAUCUUUUUUGUACAGCUUAUCUCCAUUCCAAACAGAGCUACCAUGAGAAAUAAAGCCAAAUUUAAAACAAAACAUUUCAAUGCCAGCCACGUCUAUUCUCAGUUUAGUGGGAUGCUGACUUUGCUAGGCAACAACUGGAGUAUCUCAUUUGAUGCCCUUGAAUAGGAAAUCCAAAUUGAGCCAUUAUUUCACCUGAGAAAAACAGAAUUUGGUUCAUUUUAACAAUAGAGUUAUGGGAUGAAUGUAGCUGCUACUUGUUGCUCCUGUCCUGUCCUCAAGUGAAAGCUAAAGAAUAGACAAAUUGCUUGCUACUUUUUGGAACAGUAAAUGGUAUACUCAUUAGGUGUGCAUUCACUGUGAAUGAUAAAUCUCUGAGAGUCGAUCGGGGGAUGUUUUGUUCUGCAGAGUGAGUCAUGUGAACUUCCUGAAUGUUCUUGUUAAUACUAAUAAUAAACACAUAGACCAUGAAUACCAUAGUCAAUUUUAUCACAUUAAAGGGAAACGGUCACUUUUCUGGAACUUACAGCUUUGUAUAAAACACAGAAAAUUACCUAUACCUUGUAUUAAAGGAGCACUCCACUGCUAUCUAGUAAAAAAAUAAAAGACCACUGUUUAGUAGAUAUACGCACAAUGCACACAUGCAUUAAUUUUCAUGCAUGUAUUCAUUGAGGGUAUAUCUUAGCAAAGGCUGCAGUUCUUAUGAACUGUGCGCGUGCCUGUCUGCAACAGAGGAUCUUGUCUGAGGUAUGUGAGGGAGGAGGAGGCAGGCACGCUCAAGUAGAUCGUGGCUGCCACUUCCGUUAGCUAACGAAAGUAGGAAAGAAUACUCCCUGGCUAUUUGAUUGACAGCCAGGGGGGAGUUCCCUUGUUAAUUUAUAAAAGUACUGAUUUCUCAGAGAAAUCAGCACUUUUAUAAACUGGGGUUAAACUAGGGUACUCCUGACCCAAGCUGAAGUGCUUUUGGGGUGUGGAGUGGUCCUUUAAGCUUUUGUUUCAUAAACACUUGUGUUUUCUUUUACAUUUUUAUUAUAUAUUUAGCAAAUUACAUCAUAAUCCAGUUCAGAUAAGGUAAAUAUUACAAAUGAAGAGGAUAAAAAGAAAUAGUUUCUUUUAUCCACUUCCCUGUAUGUUUUUUCUGUGCUGACUGCCAGGUCAGACCUUGUAACAAUGAUUGACAGGGAGACACACAAUUACAGGAUAAAGAACUGUGGAUUUUGUUUAAUUUAAUUUUCACAUCUAACCUUCUGAGAUUAAUUUUAGUUAUCUGCCUUUUAUACAAGAAUUCCUGGUAGUGGAUUUUUCUUAAUUUUUUGAAUAGGUUUUUAGUUUAAUAUAAGAGCUAAAAAUGCAACAAAUAGACAUUUUUUUAUUAUUUUUUUUAAUUCUUUAUUUUUGUUGUGCACAAUAGUAACAAGUAGCCCUGGUGCGCCCAACAGCCACAUCAGGAUAGGUUGGAAAACAUUUGCAAUACAGGUUGUGACAUAUGCUAGUCAGGCACAUAUUUUAGGUUAUUAGGAUUAUUAUUUAAACAGUUUAAUUCUCACUUGUGUAAAUAUAAAACAUCAUUAAAACAAAAUUGAGGCAUCGCUUGGAACAGCAAUAAAUGUUGUACCAAAAUACUAAUUCGUAGCUCAGGCUAUUGCGAUUAGACUAUUUUGCUGCUGGGUAUGUGGUAACAUGCUAAUCUGCUGCACCUUAACUACAAGUGGACACAAAGGUGAUUAUGAAUCACAGAUGAGAGCUUAGACUAUCUGGUCCUGAACUAAACAAAAAAUAACAAGAGGUAGUCUAUGGCAUACUUUACGGCAUCUCUGUGUAGCUAGGCUAUAUGUUUGGCCAGCAUUGUCCACUUAAAACACUUAGUCUAUGCAAUGAUAUUUAUAUUUACGAGUUGUGGGUAGUCCAUAUGUCAAUAGUUGUUGCCGGCUGUGAACGUGCCCUCCAGAUGCAAGUGUGGCAUGUUUACUUGAGAGGCACAGAGGUAGGCUCCUUGAAGGCGUCCCCGAACUGGGGCCCAGCUCCAGUGGUGUUCAGUGGGGUGUUCAGCCGUGCAGCUCCCCGGUUUGCAGUUGUGACUUGGAGGGAUGGAGGUGAGCUUUGCUGGACGCUGUUUCCUGGAGCCGUUCAGUAGCUUAUGUGGGAGGCUGGUUUGGUAGUCUCGUUCUCGUGAGUGUGGGGACCAGUGUGUUCGCUCCUGUAGCAUGGUGGCCAUUUCCACCUGUGGGCUCGUCGGUGUUUGCAGGGUCUGUUUGCAGGGUCUACAAGCAACUGUUCUGGUUGCUUGUAGUGGAUACCUAUAAUGGCGCCGCCCGGUCACUGGACGGAGCCAUGUGGCCACUAGUUUCACCGCUAGAAAAACCUUCUAUACCUCUGACUCUCAAAUCAGGGUAAAUAAAGAAAAAUAACAAACCCAUCUCUACACUAAGGGUAAAGGAAAAACCCGUAACUGAAAAUUCUGCGGCUCGCGCAGAAUCGGUCGAAUUCCCCCAGGGGGUUCGAGGUUGGUUGAGCGUGUGUGCUUUGUUUUGGGGCCUUCGCUGGGCGGCCAUCUGUUUCCCAGUGACCCGAUGAGUACUGGUGCUGUUCUGGCUGUGUUGGACAGUCACCUCUGUAGUUGAUUCGCUGUGUUCCAGGCUUUAGUUGCCAGGAUAUCCCUCUCCGGCAGGGGGGGGGGAGGAAAUAUGCCGGGGAGACCUCCAGGUAAGUGGUUGUAGUCUAUCGCUUUGUCUGGGUAGGCCUCUAGUAGGCCUCUGGUCGAUCCCCGGUUUGGAGCCUCCGAUUUUGGUCGGGAUGCUUGUUGCUUGGUUCUGCAGUGUUAGGGCUCCCUUCUCCAGGUCGCUUAGUUGUCAAUUUGGUGAGUUUGUGCCCUGAUUCUGGCAGUUUAAGAGAGCUUUUGCAAGGAGCUCAUCUCCAGUGCGACCGCUCAGCAUGGCAGCUUAGCUCCGCCCCACAAAUAGACAUUUUUAAUACAUUUUUAUUUCAUGAAAAAACGAUUACAUCUGUGUAUUUUUUUUUAGGAUUCUGUAACCAGCUUUGCACAUCUGGAACCUGCAAGGUCUGUUCAUUCUUGUCAAAGUCGCUCUAAUCCUUAGGUGGGCACUAUUGGUGAAUACCGUAGAACAUUUUAUGACUAGCUAUAUAUUCUGAUUAAGCUGUGUGGUUUCACUAGGCUAUUAUAAGACAAUUCAGUUACUGUUUUGAUACUAUUCUAUUGGUUUUAGGUAAUAUCCCUACUGAGACAUGUUUUCCUCAAUAGACUUGUGUAUAAUGCAAGUGGCAGGUAACUGGACAAACUUUAGGUGCUGGAAGUAACCUGUUUUUUUUUCCUGCAAACUAAUCCUAUUUGACAAAAAAGGAGAAAAGCACUCAAAGACUCUUUACACCCAACAUAACUUGUAAAGCUCCCAGUUAUGGUUAUGGUACAUUGGUAGAACAAUACCUGCAAAGAAGAACUGAGGGCCUAAUUAGUGACACCCAUACAAUUCUAGCAAGGUAAAUGUUGGAGUUCUUUGUUGCAUUUAAAACAUGAGAGAUAUAUCAUAUAGUAGAUUUGAAUGUGCUUUUAUGCAUCUGAUCAUAAAUAACAUAUUUUCUAGCAUCACAAUGCCAUUCAAGCAUGAUUGUAUAGUUAAAUAGAAGGAAAAUGUAUGGAAGGAAACAAAGGUAAAAUAAUUAAUUAAAGACUGACGCAGAGGAGAAAGGAAUGGAACAGAAGGUGGAGGAACAUUGAAUAAUUUUGAUGUUAUUCUAGUUAUAAAGUGGACCUAUAAAAACAUACAAGUGAUAUCAGCCAACAAAUAUUAUCAAACAACUAAAUAUUAGCUCUUUGAUUUAUAAUAUAAAUAAAAUAUUUAUAUUUUCCUCUUUUUGUAUAAUGCCAGUCUCAUAGGAGAGGAUCCUGGACCUUUCACCUGCCUGCAAGCCCUAAACACUGCUGAAGCAGACACACGUUUGUGUGUUAGUGUUUAUAAGAGUCUUCUUUUUUAAGAUUCUCUUCUUUUUUAAGAUUAAAUAAGAUUUAUAUUUUAUAAGAUUCUAGCUUAGCAUCUGAACUCCACAAUCAGCUUAAUAUGUCUCAUCCACAACCUUCUGGCACUUGUUUCGUACCUGAUUAUGAGGAACAACAGCAUUUUAAAUUUUCACCCAUAAUACAUAAUACAUUGAAUUGUUUCAUAUAAUAGCAUACCCAUAUAAGCACUGUUUAAUUGGUGUAAUGGUGUCUCUAAAACAACUGUCAUUGACAUAGAGACUCCGUUUCAUGUUACAGAGCAUUGUCUAAAUAGACAUUAGCUUUAUAGAUUUCUUCUCUUUAGAACUUGUACUGUUAAUGUUCCUUUUUGUAAUUUAUGUGACACUCACGACACUCAUGUUCACACGUUCAGAAGCAUACAGGCAUAUACAUAUUUUAGAUGACAGGUGCCCAAAAGGUAGAACUACAGCUUCCAUGAUGCUUUGCAUGCCUUUAGAAUGACAAAGAUCCAUGGAAGCUGUCGUUUUAAAACAUCUGGGGAUUUAACUUUUGGAGUGUUUUCCUAUACAUAUUUGUAUUAGAGCAGCGUUUCACAAACCAGUACUCACGACCCAUCAACAGUCCAGGUUUUGUUAGUAUUCCCAUUGAAAUAAAACAGGGAAAUAUGAAAAAUCCUAAACUGUUGGUGGGCCAUGAGGACUGGUUUGGGAACCACUGUAUUAGAGUAUGAGUGUUUGUAUAUCUGAGUGUUUCUUCGUAUGCAUGAUCCAUUUCUGUCUAUACACAUACUCAAGGGUGCAUGUAAACAAAGAAAGGCUCAAAAAUAAAUGCUCAAAGAUACAAAAAUACACAGACUAACAUGUAUAUAUCGCACAUGCAAAGAAAACCACACAGAUACACACAGAGCCUUACAUUCAUGCAUACAAAUGGAAACACACAGAUGCAAGCAUACAGAAAAUUUACUGGCAGGCCUAUUCUUUAAAGUUAGAAUUCAAAGUGAAUUUCAAACUUAAAGCAACACCAUAGCGUCCGGAUCACUAACAUGUAUUUCUGACCCUAUAGUGUUAAAAAUACUAAACCUUAAAUAUAGUAAAAGCUCACCUUAUUUCUGAGUUGCCUACUUUGUCUCAGUAUAUCUCUUGACUGGGUUGGAAUUUAAGUGAAAUUUCAACACAGUUAAUAUGAGUAUUUUAGAAAUAUAUCUUUAUCAAAUACCCAUUUUCUUUUAGGGAGGGUAGGGGUGACAGUGUCACCUUGAAUUGGAAAUUAACUUUGAAUUCUCCCCAUUGUAAGUAGGUCUUGCAUGUAAAUUCAAAAAGAUAAACAUUGUAGGAAUUAUAUAGGUGGUGAGCAUUCUCUAUAAGUAUACCUUUUUGGAAGGGUGCAAGUAACCUCAGGAUCCUUAUUUCAUAUGUAGUGUAAAUAAAAUAUGAUGGUCCAGCACACCUUCUUAGUAGCUGCAAGCAUUUAUUUUCAGUGCAUAGGUAAAAAUGUUCCAGCUAACAUAACCUGUAGUGGUUAUGGUCAUAAGACAGCCCAUUUAAUACAGUAAAAGAGCAGUCUAAGAAUUCUACGGACUCAAUUAUAUCUAUUUAUUGUAAGUAUUAUUAAUUUAUGUCACACCAGCACAUUAUGAAGCUUAUAAUGCAUAUUACAUAGCUCAAUUUUAUAGAUUGAGACUGAUUCAUAAUGCACUGCAGAAAAGCUUUAAAAUCAUAACAAAUCAUUAGUAAAACCGAUCUAUGACCUGAACAAAUCGGUUUUUCAGUUGAUGGUCAGCAUUCUUCGUGCAUGUGUUCACAAUUACAAAAUGUCAGAUAAGUAACACAAUAAUGCCAAAGCAAAAGCACUAAGUAUACGCGACAGCUACCAAACAGAGUCAUUAUGUGAUCUCUUGUACCAAUAUGAACUGAGAUUCAUCCGUUUGUUUAAUUUAUACUUCUUAAUUCACUCUCACUGCAGUUUUUGUUCACUCCUGGUCUUUAUCGAGAUUUUCUAAAUAACAGUACAUCUGUGAUUGUAAUUACGAGCAUGAGAUGUUAUGACAUUUGUGAAACUGAAAAGUGACAGGAUUUUCCACAGCAUAAGACAAAAACAUCUAGAAACAUAAAAAAAAAGACUCUCUUUGUCUGAAUCAAUCAUAUUUGUAUGUAUUGUCAUAUAUAAAUAUAUAUAUAUUUUUUUUUAUAAGUGGUAAUCUAAGUGACUUUAAACAUGGAACUGUCAUAGAAUGCUACCAUCUUCCACAAAACAGUUUGUGAAAUUUCUGACCUAGCCAUUCUAAAAACACCCUGAAAAGGCAGUUGUAUAUUUCCAAGAAAUAAUUGCUUAGAAUUUGAAAGAAAAUCUGAUCUGUUCAAAGGUCAAAAACGGUGAGGCAAAAUAAGUAAAUAAAUACAUUUUGUUAAUUUUGUUUGGAAUGAUCUUAAUGUCUUAAAUGUUAUCCAAUGCAAGGUUACUGGACAGACAGAAAAUAGAUGAGAAAUUUUAAUGAGUUCCCGAUUUUGUUAAAAAUUGAAAAUGGAUCAUAUACCUGGGAAGACCUGUAAUAAUGGGUCCCUCUUGAUAAGUAUGAUAAAAACCAAACAUGUUUUCCAUUAUCUAUCAUGAAACAUAAAUGAGUGAUAUAGCGCUGGAGAGGGAUUAUAUAAUUUUGAAACUAUAGAACAUGUUGAUUUAUACAUUGUAAAGAUUGAAUAUAUAAAAAUAUUCUGUGACAGUGUUUUGUCCUACAUUUUCCCAAAGAUAAAUUAAUAUUUUCACCUGUGUGGCAGAUCUGUCAGGUGUCACUCAUCACCAGUGAUAUUUAAUUAGACAACUCAGUUCACAUUCCAGAGAUCUUAUUGCUUUUAGUCAUACAAUACUGUUUGGGGUCACUGAAUUAAAAUGUACCUUAGUCGAUCAGCCAGACUUAGAUUUCAGAGAUGUAAUAUUGCAGCUAUCUUGGUAGUAACAAAACACUGGCUCCUCAGCACACCAUGGAUCAUCUGACACAUUUAUACAAGUAGACAGGUGUGAUUAACAUAACAUGCAAAAAUGCCUUUAUAAUGCCCAUUUAGCCAACUGCAAAUAAUAUUGUUACAUAACCUUAUAAGUUGAAUGGAGAGUAAGGUCAUUAUUUUUGUUUGUGAAUAACCGGGGGUGAAUAUAAUUUUUAUACAUGUGUUAGUAUCUAUAGUAUUUGGUAAUUAUAUAAUAUAACUAUACUAAUGGGAAUGACUCAGGCUGCAGCCAUGAAUGCAAUCUAUCACAACAAUCACAAACUGUUUUUAUGUGAAGAUUAUUUUUCAUUGCAAUCGUGUACUUCUGGAAAAGCUGUGUAUUGAGAAAUAUAAUCACUUCAGAUUGUGAAUCCCUGUCACUCUGCAUCCAGACAUACUAAACAUCUAUUAUUUGUGCACUGAACACACAAUGUUUCUCUCCUACCAUUUUUGUUCCCGUGCCCAUUCUUUGCCAUAUAUUUCUAAAAAAGAUCUGCCAAAUAAGCUUAGGUGUCACUUUUAGCACCAUCAGAACUUUGCAUAAUUUCAAAUAUGAUGGUGCAAAGAGCAUCCAUAUCCAUAGCUUUGAAAACUCUAAGGCAGCCCCUUAGAGCUGUCAAUCAGGCAGUCCAUAAAUCUCAUUUAAAAGUAAAUUUUACCCAACUUGUAUGUGUGCUUGCCAUAAACACAACUUGAACUUGACUCUCCUCCUUGGAGACGGGGAUAUAAAUAUUUAGUUAUUUUGUUCAUAUUAGGCCAUGUAAGAUGUAAAAUAUGUGAUUCUAAGUCAAAGUUUAUCUGGGAAAGCUCUAAGCUCCCUAGAAGAUUUCUGAUCAUUUCCCAGAAUUUUAAUUUAAUUGAAUCGCAUUCCCACCAUAUAUGGGGGAAAGAUCCGUCUGAUUGAUUACAUCUCCAACAGAUAUUAGUAUUUGAAGUUUAGAUUUUUUUCAAUUUUGUUGGUACCAUAUGCCAUCUUUGUAUAAUUUUAUAUUGGACUUCUGAAAGAUUUAGGCAAUUAAUAUUUUGUUUAAGUUCCAUCAUUAUUUUAUAUCAAUUGCUAAUUUCAAAACUCCUUCCUAUUUCUUUCUCCCAUAUUUGGAAAGCAUUCAGCUUAUUAUCUGUUACAUUAUUUGUAUCUACUAUUCCCAUAGUCAAGAUUUUUGUAAUAUUAUACUCCUCCGUUAAAAGAUUCUGGAGUUGAUUUUCUUUUUCCGAAUAGUUCCCGGUAAUAUUUUGAAUAAUAACGUUUUUAAACUCUUUUUUUUUUCUUUGUUUUAAUAUAUAUAUUUUUGUUUUUUUCUUAAAUAUAGUUAAGUUAACCUGCUAUUAUUUUUAACUACUUAAUAUGUCAUUUUAUUUAACUAUGCUAUGGACUUUCCAAUCUGAAUAUUCUACAAAUAGACUUGUGCUAUUUUAGUAAACUCUUGAAUUGUUUUUUUUUUUGUAGUGCUUAGAUAGACAUACCAACUUUUACUGACAUAUCAUCAAGAGCAAAAGCGACAGAGACAUUAAAUAUAUGUGAUAGGACAUAUCAAGAGACUUACACUUUUUUUCAAGAGAGAAUUUAAAAUCACAAGUGUUUUGCAGUGCAGUGGUACUGUCAUAGAGUGGCAAUGGCAUACAAUGUAAAAACAGAACGAGAGAAAAACAGACGUAUAGCUAAAGCUUGCUAUGCCAUGCUUAACUACACAAUUUUAAAGUAAGAAUAAGAGGAUUCAUGUUGGGCAUACAUGUCUAGGUACAAAUUAAAUUAAAGAUAUGAACUCUUAUGAAAAAAUAAACAGGGUGUAAGUCAAUUGUAUUAUCCAGCUUAAAAAAACAUAGGUAAAUGUUGGCAUAAUAGACUAACGAUUUAUACGACUGAGUGUAUAUAAGCCCCCUGGGGGCCCCGCAGCUCAAUAAGUUGGCAUAGGAGUAAUUUGACUGGGAAUCAGUGGCACUAUGUACAACAGACAGGCACAAAUAAAAAAAUAGGGCACACACAAACAGGUGCAUUUAAAGAGAGGCUUUUAGAUGGGCAGUAAUAUGGCAAUUAUAAAUCAGCCUAUUCCCUCGCUAAGCAAUGGCACAUAGGUGUUGAUCUGUUCACAGGAGCCCCAUGAGAACCACAAAACCACAUCACGCCAGCCCCUGGCCAGGACCUGCACUCCAGCUCCACUGUCCCAGACAUCAACAUUAACUCCUCUGCUGCAAUACCCUCUGUGGGUGUGGGCGUGUAGGGGGGCAUCCACCCCAUUUGGAUCCCAGCCUGGGAAGGUGCUUCUGCUGCCCAGUGACUGAAGUAAAACUCAAUUUUUCCAGCCUGGCAUUCCAAGGGUGCCAGUCUCUGGUUCGUUAAUGAUAGAGGGGUAAGUGUGCAUUUGCUCGCUGAUGCAGCAUGUCCCAGAAGCGCUUUGUAACGGACCGUUUUGCACACAAGGGGUAAAAACCGUUUAGGCAAUCGGCCCCCUUUCCAGAGAUACAGGCACAGCUACUGCAGAACACCAAACUCCCGAACUGGAUACAAAAUAGCACUCCAACUCCCGAACUGGAACCUCCCAAAUAGCUGCUAGCAGACGAACAGGAAAAGCAGGCAAUCAGCUUACACUCCUGGCAAUCAGUCUCUAACAGCAUACAGUGAAUCCCCCCAAGAACGAGACGAGGCUCCGUGUUGAGGGUCAAGCAGUGGUCUGAGGUGCUGGCACACCCAGCCUGGUUUUAUUACAGUCUUGCAAAUACAGGACCGCCCUGUAUUUUAUACCAAGCUUCAGAAGAAAACUCUUGAUUAAACCAUUUCUUUAAAUGAAGAAUCAUAGUUGCAUCAUGGUGUCUUUUAACAAGAGGAAGGUUAAUACCACCUUUUGCCAUAUUUCUUGACAAAAUAGAAGCCGCAAUUCUGUUUUGUUUUUUUUGUUUUUUUUAAAACCCAUAUAUAAUUGUUAAAAAAAUAUUGAACUUCUUUCAACUACUUUUGAGGAAAUGGUACCAUCCUAAAUAAAUUUGUCCAUUUAGUGAGUAUAUAUGUUCUUAUUACAUUUAAUCUUCCCCACCACGAUACUUCUUUGUAUGUCCAUUUGUCAAGGUUUUCUCUGGUUUGAGCUAAUACGUUUUGAAAAUUAUAUUCUAAUAUAUUUUUCGCAUCUGCCAUUAUUUUAAUUCCUAGAUAGUAUAUUGGUCCUAAAGUCCAGUUGAACCCAUAUUUAAAUUUGAAUAAAUUUUCUUUAUUAUUAUUGAUAUUUAAUGGCAUAGCUGAUGUUUUUUCCAUAUUUAAUUUAUAAUUAGAGAGACGGCUGAAUAAUUGUAUUUCUUCUAGCAGAGCAGCUAAAGAAUUUUCUAUAUUGCUCAUAUUUAUCACUAUAAAAUCCACAUAGGAAAAGAGGUUAAACAAUCUACAAUAUGUAGAAAUACCAGUUAUAUAUAUAUUUUAUCUCUUAUUCGUUGUAAAAAGGGUUCUAAAGUUAGCAUAUAUAGAAUAGGAGAUAGAGGACAUCCUUGACGUGUCCCGUUUCUUAUUUUGAACCAUCGAAACAUUAUGUCUGAGCCUAUUAUUCAAGCCAUAGGUAUGGUAUAUAGAGCCAAAAUUUUAUUUAUAAAACAAUCUCCAAAUCCAUAUAAGUUCAACGCUUCAGACAUAAAUUGUCAAAUGACCCUGUUGAACGCUUUUUGUAGCGUCCAAAAACAGGGCCAGUUGGGAAAUGGAAUCUGUUUUAGACACAUCUAAAGAAUCUAUAAGUCUCCUCAUAUUUUGAGUUGAUGAUCUUAAAGCUACAAAUCCUUGGUCUUUAUGGACUAAUAAUGGAACAAUAUCCUUUAUAAGUGAGAUAGGACGAUAAUUGGCUAUUUCAGUUGGAGUCUUAUUUUGUUUAGGGAUUGGAACUAUAUUUGCUUGCAACAUUUGCUCUAGUAGACUAUCCAGUAAUCCUAUUUUGUUGAAUAUUGUUAUCAGAUAUGGACUAAUAUUGUUUUUUGUAGUUUUAUAAAACAAAUUAGAGAAGCCAUCAGGUCCUGGAGCCUUAUUGUUUUUAAACUUCUUUAUUACUGAAUUUACCUCUUCCAGAGGUAUCAGAGUAUUUAUAGAUUUUACUUGGUCUUUUGUUAAUUUGGAUUUAUUUAAAUCUCUUAGAUAUUCUUUAAGAGAGAUGUUACCUAUAUUUACUGGAAUAUUAUAGAGUUUUUGAUAGAAAUCUUUAAAUUCCCCCACUAUUUCAUCUGGGUUAUAAUAUGUUGAAUCCUUACAGAUUAUUUUAAAAAUUCUAAUUUUGGCUGUACUUUGUUUAAGUUUAAAUGUUAAUAGCUUAUUGGCUCUAUUACUUUUAUGAUACCAGUUUUGGGUCAGUUUUUGAAGUUGUUUUUUUUUGGAGUUCUUUAACAGGAUGUUACAUAUUUUAUUUUCUACAACCUCUAUUUUUUUACAUUUUCUAAAGUAGGAUUUUCUUUAUUGCUUCUUGAUAAAUUGUUAAAGCGGCACUGUCAUGCCGAAUCCUGUUUUUUUUUUAACUCCCCUCCGGCCUCCACUACAUCUAACUGACACCCUAGUCACUCCCAAAUGCGCCUAAGCCCCCCACAUUACCUAUUUUUUAUUCCUUAUUUUCUGCCCCGAUCUUGAGUCAAGGCGCCGCCAUCUUUGUGUGGGUAGAUGAAGUCCCUGUGGGACACGUCAUCUGCCCACACUACACAGACUGUAAGAUUCCCGCACAUGCCCAGUGAAACACCUGGACAUGCGAACGGGAAUUUCCUCUAUUCAUUCAUUCAUCAGACAGAUGAAUGAGUGAAUAGAAAUAUCAGCCGAACAAACAAACACUGAGUAUCUGAGUAUCAGUGUUUGUUUGUUCGCUCAGUUUAUUACAAGGAGGGAGCUACCGGCAUGCAGCUCCCUCCUUGUAAUAUGUAACUAUAGAAGCGGCAGGAAGCAGUGCUCCCCACCACUUCAUAAUCCCCCUCCAGGUCCCCCCUCACUCUAUGGGGGUCAAUAUGACCCCCAUAAUAGCACAAGGGAGAUUAAAAUCUCCCCAAUGCCCCUACUCGCUGUACCGGGUGGCGAGUGGAGGCCAUAAUGAUAAUGAGGGGGGGACCUACUGUCCACCCCCCCCUACGGCCCCCACCCCUGGGCGGCGGGUGGGGGCCAUAAUGAUAAUGAGGGGGGGACCUACUGCCCCCCCGGCCCCCACCCCUGAGCGGCGGGUGGGGGCCAUAAUGAUAAUGGGGGGGGACCUACUGUCCUCCCCCCCGGCCCCCACCCCUGCGCGUCGGGUGGGGGCCAUAAUGAUAAUGAGGGGGGGACCUACUGUCCUCCCCCCCGGCCCCCACCCCUGCACGGCGGGUGUGGGCCAUAAUGAUAAUGGAGGGGGGGGACCUACUGCCCCAUUAUGGCCCCCACCCCUGGGCGGCGGGUGGGGGCCAUAAUGAUAAGGAGGGGGGGACCUACUGCCCCCCGGCCACCACCCCUGGGUGGCGGCCAUAAAGAUAAUGGGGGGGACCUACUGUCCUCCCCCCCUGGCCCCCACCCCUGCGCGGCGGGUUGGGGCCAUAAAGAUAAUGAGGGGGGGGCCUACUGUCCUCCCCCCCCGGCCCCCACCCCUGGGCGGCGGGUGGGGGUCCUAAGUCAUUUACCCCCCCCAAGGUGAUUAGGGGUCUCCAAGCCCCUAGUCACCCACCCCCCACCCAAAUAAAAAGUCCCUACCUACCCCCCUCACCCUAAAAAAUAGUGAGGGGGGAAUAAAAUAACUAACCUGUAAAAUAAAAUUAAACUUACCAUUCGACGUCUUCUUUUUUCUCAAAUCUUCAUUUUUCAGCCCCAAAAAAGGCCAAAUAAAAAACCAUUAUAACUGUUGAAUUUAAAACAAAAUAAAAAUCCCGAGAAAGAGAAAGAAGAGAAAGAAACGAACAUACUGUUCUCAUUCAGUUAGAAUGCAAUUCGGCAGUUUCAGCUAAAAUGACAGGAAGCAUCGUGGGAACACAGAGGAAAGGUAAGGAUCAUGGGAAAAUUGCUCUGACCAGCGGAAAUGAAGCACACUUUGCUCCUCCGCUGGUCAGAGCUGGUCAAGCGGAGGAAUCCUCCAUAAGGCAAAGAGUCCCUACUUUGUCUUAUGAUUUUAAAGAAAACUAAAGAAGACAGGAAGAAAAUAAGAACAGAUCCUGAGAGAGGGGGAGAAAAGGAAGAGAUUGAGGAAAGGUAAGUUCGGCAUGACAGUGCCGCUUUAAGUUCGACAUACAAGACAGAGAGAAGAAACUUCAUUUUUAUUUUGAUUUACUUUCAGUUUUAUAAAAUAUCCUCUCAUCACAGAUUUGUAGGCACACCAUGUUAAUAAACUAUUAUCUCUUCUCCACUCUGGUCUAAUGAAUGUUUGUUGCCGAUCAUUAGUUUCCAUUAUCACUCCAUUAUGAUCUGUCCAUGCUAGCUCUUUUAUAUAUAUCUUUUUAAUUUGUUGUAUAAGGGGUGAUCUCCCUAAAAACAAUCUGUUCGGAAAUACGAAUACUGUACCCGAGAGAAAUGUGUAAAAUCUUCCUCAUCAGGAUGUAUAGUUCUCCAUAGAACAUACAAAUUAUAUUCUCCCAAAAGUGACUAAACGUUUCUAGUUUGAUUUUUCAAUUCAAUGGACAAUACCCUUUUCCCUAAAUAUUUCUUAUCCUUUUUUUCAUCCAAUAUCAUAUUAAGAUCUCCAGCCAUUAUUAAUAAACCUUGUGUGACAUUUUCCAAUUUGUUCCAUAUCUUCCUGAGGAGACCAACUGGACCUUUAUUGGGUGCAUAUACGUUAGACCUCAUUUAUUUUGCAGAUCAGUAUAAUAUAUCUGGCUUCAUAGUUGAUCUCUUGAUAGAUAUUUUCGAAAUUUAUAUGAUCAGAUAUUAGAAUUGCGACUCCUUUUUUUAAUCUCUAACUAGAGAGGAAUCUAUAAUAUUGGAAUAUCUAUUUAAUGAGGUCUUUUUCAUAUUUUCUUUAGUCCAGUGUUUCUCUUGCAGGAAUGCCACAUCCACAUGUUCCUUUUUUAGGAAAUCUACCAAAACCAUUAUUGUAUAGACUGUGUUAAAACCCCAAACAUUUAACGUCAACCAUUUAACCAUAUCAUAAUUAACUGUUUCUUUUGAAUUGAGUUUUUAGUGCAUGUGCUGUGCAAGGACAUCAUAUACCAACAAUAAAAAAAACAGUGCAAUACAUGAUGUUAAAAUAUUAGAGCAUGGCUCCCUUCUGCCAUAUCCAAAUAUGUGCCAUCUCCUACCCUAGGCACGCAACAAUGGAUCUAACAUUAUAGAAUUGAAGGUCUGUGAGCCUAUAGCCUUUUACCGGGCUACGACGACUUUAAUUUUAGUGACUCAGGAUUCUGGAGAGGAAGAAAGAGAAGAAAAAAAAUUUGCAAAAGUGUUUUAAUGUUUUAAUAUUAUUUGAUAUAUUUUUUUUAUAUAUGAUAUAUUUUUUGAUAUUUUAAUAUUCUGAAUUUUAUCCAAAAAUAUAACAUUGAUGCCCAUAUUCAUUUAGUCAGAUCAUCUGUUGAAUAUAGGGGCAUAAUUUGGCAAAUUAAAAAAAAAAAACACAAAUUUAUAAAUUCCAAAUUAAAAUGCAAACUGCCAAGUAAUUGCUACGUUGUGAUUAACACUAGUAGCAAUAUAUUAAUGAAAUGAUGAGUUGUUAAUAAGAUUCUGUUCAUAUAUACUCACAAAUAGAAAAGAAAAAUACACUUGUAUCCCUAUCUCAUUGAUUCAGUAGAGCCUAACAAUGUUAUAAUUGGUGUCACUGCAAAGUUAGAAAAAAAUUAUGCUCUCUAACUGCAGUGCAAUUGCACCAUAGCAAACAAUACAAACCACAUCUCCAUUUUCUAUCCAAUAAAUGAUGUUGCAGUUCUACAGGAACAUUUUACUUGUGUAAAUGGUACAUGUACCUUUUCAAUGCACAUGCUGUACUCACAAGAUGGACGUACAGUGCCUUGCAACAGUAUUCACCUCGGCAUUUUUUGCGUUUUGUUGCCUCACAACCUGGAAUUAACAUGGGUUGUUUGAGGAUUUGAUAAUUUAAUUUACAGAACAUGCCCACAACUUUGAAGAUUUUUUUUUUUUUUUUAUUGUGAAGCAAACAACAAAUAGGACAAAAUAACAGAAAAAGUCAAUGUGCAUAACUAUUCACCCCCCUAAAGUCAAUACUUUGUAGAGGCACCCUUUGUGGCAAUCACAGCUCCAAUUCGCUUUAGAUAAGUCUCUAUGAGCUUGCCACAUCUUACCACUGGGAUUUUUGCCCAUUCCUCCUUGCAAAACUGCUCCAGUUGGAUGGUUUGCGCUUGUGAACAGCAAUCUUUAAGUCUGACCAUAGGUUUUUUUUUUUGACCAUGGAUUGAGGUCUGUGCUUUGACUAGGCCAUUCCAACACAUUUACAUGUUUCCCCUUAAAACACUUAAGUGUUGCUUUAGCAGUGUGUUUGGGGUCAUUGUCCUGCUGGAAGAUGAUACUUAGAUCAUGUGGCACUUAGAUUGUGCACAGGUGGACAUCAUCUCACUAGUUAUGUGACUUCUAAAGGUAAUUGGUUGCACCCAAGCUUUUUAUGGGCUUCAUAUCAAAGGGGAUGAAUACAAUUUUCUGUUUCUAAAAAAUAGUUUUAUGUAUAUAUUUUUCUAAUUUCACUUCACCAACUUAGACUUUUGUGUUCUGAUUCAUCACAUAAAAUUCAGAUUAAUAAAACAUUGAACUUAAGGCUGUAAUGUAACUAAAUAGGUAAAAAGUCAAGGGGGUUGGGGGAAUACUUUUGCAAGGCACUGUAUGUUUUUUGUUAAUGUUUCCCUUUUGGAUUUAGUUCAUCUUAGCUGUUUGAAUACUAGAUUUUGUAACAUGCAUUACACUUUUCAGUGUUAAUGAAUAUGUAAAAGUUUGGUUAUCCAUAAUAAUUGAUCAGAUAGACUGUGGGGGUCUUAUCUCUACAUUGAAACCACUCCAAUAAGCUAAAGUGGUUUUGGUGCCUAUAGUAAGGGCCGUAUUUCCCAUCAGGCAUGAGAGGGGUGGCACAGUCCACUGGCCAGCCUAUUCACAUGCCAAGGGAGCCAGCCACUGUAGCAGUGUGUGCAGCGGCAAACUCACUCAAGAAGGAGACUACAGACUUCUUCCUGACAGGCUUCUGAGCUGCUGCACAAAUCGGUGGAAAGGGAGGGGGCCAAACAAAGGCAAUGCAAGUAACAACAAUUGCCCUCUCCUCCCCCUCGCCUUUCUCACGCUCCAUUCCGGCUAGGAUCCAGUGCAUUCGUCAAUGAGUGUGUGUCUGCAUGAGUCUUGGUGUGCAUGUCUGCAUUGGUCAGAGUGUGUGCGAGUCUGCAUGGGUCAGGGAGCGUGUAUUUAUAUUACUGUGUAUAUAUAAGCAGAAUAUAAAAUUACUCUAACACACUUGAAUUAAUAUACAUGUAUAAAUGAAGGGACUGCGAGGGGGCUUGUUGAGAAAACUGGCCUUGGGAUAGCAAGGAGCGUAAAUCUGGCUCUGUCUGUAGUGUCCCUAUAAAAAGGCACAUUAAGGAGUACUUUAGCUCAGUUGAGGGAAUAAAUAGAUCCAAUGGACCAGAAAAAAAGUGCAACAUUUUUUUAUAUACAAAAUACAACCUCUCCAUGUUUCUAGAUGUCCUAGUCAUUUGCUGAAUAAAUUUGGAUUGUAAUGUAAUUUGCUACAUUUAAAUACUUAAAGGAUCACUCUAGUCAAAAUAUAAAAGCAAGAAAGACAGGUCCUCAAGCCUUCUUUCUUGCUUUUAUAUUUACUUCCCCUUAAAAAAAAAAAAAAAAUAGAGUGAUUAUAAGUCUAUUUACUUACCUCCGUUCCAGCUCAGAGCCCUCUUCUAGCCUCACCUCCUUUUUCAUCAAAAUGAUGAAGUAGCAGGUCUCAAUCAGACGUCAUAGCGAUCUGGUGCGCAUGCGCAGCUUCGUGCUGCACCAAUCGCGUUCUUCAUAGAGCGGCAUUGAAUGCUGCCUUAUGAAGACACUCAGCGCUAUACCGCGCAUGUGCGCGAUAUGCGCAGUCGAGAGCUGAGCUGACUGACAGCUCAGCUCGCUGUGUGUGCCCGCCCCCCUUCUACAGCAACCCUCCUAGUGCAAACUUUGUAUGCAAACACUAUAUAUAGAGGUUUCUCUAUAUAUGGUGUUGGCAUACAGACACACUCAUAUUGUUAAACAUAUACACACAAUUUAAAUAAAUAUUGUUAAACACACAUACACACUCUAUUUCUACUUCUUUCUAUUUAUCUUUAUCUAUCUCUAUCUAUCUAUUUCUAUCUAGCUAUCUAGCUAUCUAUUUCUUACUAUCUAUCUAUCUCUAUCUCUAUCUAUUUCUAUCUAUCUCUAUCUAUCGCUCUCUCUAUUUCUUUCUAUCUAUCUCUAUUUAUUUCUAUUUAUCUAUUUCUAUCUAUAUCUAUCUAUUUAUUUCUAGAUAUCUAUUUCUAUCCAUCUCUAUCUAUUUCUUUCUAUCUAUCUAUAUAUUUCUAUCUAUUUCUUUCUAUCUCUCUGUAUCUACACUGCUCAAAAAAUAAAGGGAACACUUAAACAACACAAUGUUACUCCAAGUCAAUCACACUUAUGUGAAAUCAAACUGUCCACUUAGGAAGCAACACUGAGUGACAAUCAAUUUCACAUGCUGUUGUGCAAAUGGGAUAGACAACAGGUGGAAAAUAUAGGCAAUUAGCAAGACACCCCCAAUAAAGGAGUGGUUCUGCAGGUGGUGACCACAGACCACUUCUCAGUUCCUAUGCUUCCUGGCUUAUGUUUUGGUCACUUUUGAAUGCUGGCGGUGCUUUCACUCUAGUGGUAGCAUGAGACGGAGUCUACAACCCACACAAGUGGCUCAGGUAGUGCAGCUCAUCCAGGAUGGCACAUCAAUGCGAGGUGUGGCAAGAAGGUUUGCUGUGUCUGUCAGAGCAUGGAGGCGCUACCAGGAGACAUGCCAGUACAUCAGGAGACGUGGAGGAGGCCAUAUGAGGGCAACAACCCAGCAGCAGGACCGCUACCUCCGCCUUUGUGCAAGGAGGAACAGGAGGAGCACUGCCAGAGCCCUGCAAAAUGACCUCCAGCAGGCCACAAAUGUGCGUGUGUCUGCUCAAACAGUCAGAAACAGACUCCAUAAGGGUGGUAUGAGGGCUCAACGUCCACAGGUGGGGGUUGUGCUUACAGCCCAACACCGUGCAGGACGUUUGGCAUUUGCCAGAGAACACCAAGAUUGGCAAAUUCGCCACUGGAGCCCUGUGCUCUUCACAGAUGAAAGCAGGUUCACACUGAGCACAUGUGACAGACGUGAAAGAGUCUGGAGACGCCGUGGAGAACGUUCUGCUGCCUGCAACAUCCUCCAGCAUGACCGGUUUGGCAGUGGGUCAGUUAAUGGUGUGGGGUGGCAUUUCUUUGGGGGGCCGAACAGCCCUCCAUGUGCUCUCCAGAGGUAGCCUGACUGCCAUUAGGUACCGAGAUGAGAUCCUCAGACCCCUUUUGAGACCAUAUGCUGGUGCGGUUGGCCCUGGGUUCCUCCUAAUGCAAGACAAUGCUAGACCUCAUGUGGCUGGAGUGUGUCAGCAGUUGCUGCAAGACGAAGGCAUUGAUGCUAUGGACUUGCCCGCCCAUUCCCCAGACCUGAAUCCAAUUGAGCACAUCUGGGACAUCAUGUCUCGCUUCAUCCACCAACGUCACAUUGCACCACAGACGAUCCAGGAGUUGGCAGAUGCUUUAGUCCAGGUCUGGGAAGAGAUCCCUCAGGAGACCAUCCACCACCUCAUCAGGAGCCUGCACUGGCAUUGUAGGGAGGUCAUACAGGCAUGUGGAGGCCACACACACUACUUUGACUUGUUUUAAGGACAUCACAUCAAAGUUGGAUCAGCCUGUAGUGUGUUUUUCCACUUUAAUUUUGAGUGUGACUCCAAAUCCAGACCUCCAUGGGUUGAAAAAUUUGAUUUCCAUUUUUUAAUUUUUGUGUGAUUUUGUUGUCAGCACAUUCAUGUAAAGAACAAAGUAUUUCAGAAGAAUAUUUAAUUAAUUCAGAUCUAGGAUGUGUUAUUUUUGUGUUACCUUUAUUUUUUUUGAGCAGUGUAUUUCUUUCUAUCUGUCUAUAUCUAUCUAUCUCUAUCUAUCUAUUUCUAUCUAUAUUUAUCUAUCUAUUUCUAUUUAUUUCUCUCUAUCUAUAUCUAUUUCUCUCUCUCACACUCAUUCUCUCACAGUCACUCACCCACACUCAGUCACCCACACUCAGUCACCCACACUCAGUCACCCACUAACCCUCAGUCACCCACCGACACUCAGUCACCCACACUCAGUCACUCACCCACACUCAGUCAUAAAAUAAGUUUACUUACAGUUUGAAUUCUCCUCUCCUGCUCGGUCUCCGGUCUUCAGCCUGUCAGCACCAGCUGAGAUUGUGUUUGUUGAUGCAGGAGAUCUGAUCUCCCACAAUCCCACGCGGUGCUGACAGCCUGCAGACAGGAUGCUCGUGCACAGUGCUGCCCUGUCUGCUGACAGCACAUCUGAGUGGAUGGAUGCGAAUUACGCAUCCAUCAACUCGGAAAUCCCUCUUGUGGCAGUCUGAGUGACUGCAACUAGAGGUGUUCCUAGCUUUCAAUGUAAACACAGUAUGUUCUCAGAAAAUACAGUGUUUGCAUGAGAAAGGCUGCAGGGAGCUAUAGUUCUCACCUGAACAACCUCAUUAAGCUGAAGUUGUUCAGGUGACUAUAGUGUCCCUUUAAAUAUAUUUACAAGUAGAGAGCUACAUGACAAAUAAGUUAAUUCAGAUUAUAAAAGUGAUUGUCCAUGUUUUAUUCCGAGGUGUAAUUUGUAUAGAAGUAUUUGUUCCCCUUUAACUAAUUCCCAGCAUGAGCUAAAUCUCAGGAUAAUACUCCCAAUUACAAAAUUACACAACUGACCAUAUAUGUGUACAUACACAUAUAUACAUUAUUAUCACACCAUGUGACACUUUCAGUGACUUAUAUUAACAUUCAAUCACAGCAAACACAUCAAUAUUGAUAUAUUCCAUAGUAACCGGAGGAUAUUUUCCAUGUAAUUAUUUCCACACUGAUUAAGUUUAGCUAAUAAAGUAAUAAAACAGUUAAGUUAUACUCACUGAUUUAUUUUUACAUACACUUAUAUAUCUGAAAUUUCACAGUUUAAUGGCAAGUUUUUUUUUAGAGUAUUUUCUUUUCUUUUUUCAAAUAUAAAUGUUCAAUGUCCACCAAGUGUUAUUGGUUAAAAAUGUAAUGAAAUACAAUGAUAUUUGUGGCCAACAGGAUAGCCAUCAUACAUUAAUAUGCUACAUUAAAACAUGUCUCUAUCUGUUGGUCUGCCUGUCAAUUUAAAUAGCACGUAAAUAGAACCAGCAUUUCUGUGUUAAUCACCAUAUUGCUGUAUUAACAAUCUAUGUUAUAAAUAACAGUAUAUUUACCAGACUCAUAAAUUUACAUAUCUGUUUGAAGAACUAGAACCCAAUGAGUCUUAAAAUACAUGAAAUAGCAAAAGUAAGGAUAAAGGUAGAUGAAUGGCACUUUCAACUAAAUGAUCUCUUUUCUUGUCAAUUCUAGAUCAUUUCUGUUUUAGUAAAAAACAGGUCUGUGAUUAUUAAAAAUAAUCUAGCCUGGUUUUAUCUAGACAACGUGUACUGAAUCAUCGAUUGCAAUAAUAUAUAUAUAUAAUAUUAAUAGUUUGCAACUCUUGGUUUCCUUCCAUGGUUAUUUACUAGGUGAAUCAUGAUAAAUAUUUUUUUUAUUUGCACUCCUGUGUAAUCUAAUACCCCCUUAGGAGCAGAAGAAGAAUUCUCUCUGUUAAAUGAUGUAACUUAUUGUCUUUCAGAGAUGUGGUACUGGGUGUUCCUGUGGGCUCUGUUCUCUUCUCUGUUUGUUCACGGAGCAGCGGCAGUUCUGAUGUUUGUAAUGCUACAGAGACACAAACAGGGGAGACUGAUAUCUGUGGUGUUGGUCAGCAUUGGCUUCCUGGCUUCUGUCACUGGAGCAAUGAUAACUAGUAAGUUCUACUUCUCUAAUUCACUCAUUGAUACAUUGUACUAAAAGUGAAUAGUCAUUUUAAAGCCAUAUUUGUGCUUAUGUUCAAGUUUCAAGUUUGUCUUAAGAUGUCUUAAUUUACAGUAUCAUAAUUACAGGUAUCGAUUCCUGUCAAACAACAGCAGACUCGCCAAAAUAUUUACAUUGCAAUGUGCCCAGGUUUCUGUAGAUGCAAACUCUUAAAGAAACACUUCAAACACCAUAACCACUAGUGGUUAUAGUGCCAGGAGUUGCCCAGUCCACCCUUCACAUCCACCCCCCAUCCCCACACACACACACUCAAUUGUAACUGGUCAAAUUGGUUUAUAACAAUUUGACGUUUCAUCUGGGGUCCACAGGGCCAUGCUCUUCACCCAGGGCCAGUGCAAGGAUCUUAGACUACAAAAAUGCAAUCGCAAACUACACACAUAGGUACUGAUAGACAUGCAUCGCCGCCUCCCCUGCUGCCAGAGGGUCCUGCAAGAAAACUCUGGUUAAUGUAACUGAGCUAUGUCUUGCCUAGCUCAUUGGCUAACAGCGCUCACCGGAAGCUCUUAACCAAUGAGCAAGGAUCUACAUGGUGGGGCUUAGCACAGUGGCAGGAGUUUCUGGCAAGUGACUCCUGACAAUUACCCCUGUUCUUAACAAGUAUAGAUCCUGACACUGGCCAGAAUUUCACCCCUUUCCUCCUAAAUUUUGAAUCCCUUAUUUCCAGGCAAUGUGCCUGUAUCUCCCCAAUUCACAUCAUGACAUAUCUUCCCCUAGCAAUUAAAGCAAUUAUCCCCUUCCAAGCUCACUAUCUGCACUUGCUUAAAAUGUUUUGCCGCACCUUCUUCCCUACACAGUUAUAGAGAGUCACACAGAGCACAGUCACAGAUAGGGACACUCAUCCAUAUGCUCCCACAGACAGACACUCUCACAGAUACACACUUAUAGACACACUCACAGAUGCACUCCUAUAGACACAGACACACAAACAGACACUCUCACAGAUACACACUUAUAGACACACUCACAGAUGCACUCCUAUAGACACAGACACACUCACAAAUGCACUCCUAUAGACACAGACACACUCACAGGUACACUCCUAUUGACACACUCUGAAAUACAAAAACUUAUAGACACACUCACAUAUACACUCCUAUAGACACACUCACAAAUAGACAAUUAUAGACACACUCACAGAUGCACUCCUAUAGACACACUCACAGAUACACUCAUAUAGACACACUCACAAAUACACACUUAUAGUCACACUCACAGAUACACUACUAUUGACACGCUCACAGAUACACUACUAUUGACACACUCUGAAAUACAAAAACUUAUAGACACACUCACAAAUACACAAUUAUAGACACACUCACAGAUGCACUCCUAUAGACACACUCACAAAUACAUAAUUAUAAACACACUCACAGAUGCACUCCUAUAGACACACUCACAGAUACACUCCUAUAGACACACUCACAAAUACACAAUUAUAGACACACUCACAGAUGCACUCCUAUAGACACACUCACAGAUACACACUUAUAGACACACUCACAGAUACACUCAUAUAGACACACUCAUAUAGACACAUUCACAAAUACACAAUUAUAGACACACUCACAGAUGCACUCCUAUAGACACACUCACAUAUACACUCAAAUAGACACACUCACAGAUACACUCCUAUAGACACACUCACAAAUGCACACUUAUAGACACACUCACAGAUACACUCACAGAUACACUCAUAUAGACACACUCACAAAUACACUCAUAUAGACACACUCACAGAUGCACUCCUAUAGACACACUCACAUGUACACUCCUAUAGACACAUUCAUAGAUAUACACAGAUGCAUAAAAUUAUACUCAGAUACAGACUUACAAUCAUGCAUGCAGACACACAAUCAGUCACACAACACACUCACAGACCCAGAUACAUACACACAGUAUCAGAUGUGACCCACCCCUCAGAAUCUCUCCAGCACACAGUGUGCACCAAUCUACAGUUCCUACUAAUACCCCUUUCUGAAAGCCCUACACCAUCCCUCACUUCCCAUAUUAUCUAAAAGUCUGCAUGCUGUGGCUAUUCCUACCUAUGGGGAGCUGCAGCCCUUGCGGUACGAUGACACGUGGUACAGUGGGAGGGCUGAUUGAGGGUCAGGGGAUGGGGCUUUGCAGACAGCGGCCAACAAUCUGCUUCAGGGUGGCACAAACCCUCAAGGAGGUCCUGCAGCAUCCAGCUUCGUGUUGGGCUUCAGCAGAGUGACAUAGCACCAGUAGGCUGUCUAGAACCAUAAGUAUAGAACUUCAUAAGGCGGGCAGACAGAAAUUGUUCUGCAGGAAAUAUUUACAAAUCCAAGUCUCUGGCAGGGGCCGGGGAUUUGGAUUUUUGCACCCGCUGUGGCGUCCUAAGACGGCUGCCUGGAAGCCUUGUGGAUACGCUGGCCCUGUCUUCAUUCAAAAACCAACACUACACAUAAAUAGAUGCUUAAAUUCAAACGCCAACACCACAUAUAAACAUAUUCCAUACAAAAAAAUAGAUUCACAACUGAACGAUGGAUAAACACCAAUAAAUGGUAGAAUAUCCCUCUAGAGUUAAAUAUCGAGAUUGGAUAUGACUACCAUAACCACUGUAUCGCUUGUAAAAAUAACCACCACCAGGGGUUAAAGGUAUAAAAAAUCUUGAAUACUUAUUGAAAUAAAUCAAUAAUAUAUACAGGAUACAGUGGAGAUGGAAAUACAUAUUGCAAGUCAAAGAAUUAAAAAUGUGUUCAAUUCCUCUUUAAAUGUGGAUGUAUCAGCUAGUCAGAUCUUUACCUCCUAUAGUAUAAGGUAGGUAGAAUCCACAGGCUGCUGAAAUAUUGAUCUAGUAUAGGUUUCCGGACUGAUAGAGUACAGAACCAAUAUACAAAAUAUUAUAGUUGAAUCCCAUUAAGGGUUAAAAUCUUAAUAGUAAAGUCUAUUAUACAGUGCAGCAGAAAGAGUACUAUUUAAAAAUGUAUUAGUACAUGUAAACUGUCGACAAAAACACAUAGAUAUAUAAAAGACUAAUAAGUUAAACAGUCCCAAAUAAGAGUAGCAAAUAGAAGUAGCAAUAGUACCAGGUAUUGCAGACUUGGGGUCCAAAGAUGUUAAAAUCACUCUCUUGCCGGCCGGAUAAAAGUGAACUAGGACCUCCUCGUGCUGGAAUGACACUGGAUUCUGGCCACAUGCGUUCCACUGCGGCUCUGGAUGCGUUUCAAAAGUGCUUGCUCUCAGGAACCGAUGUGUACCGAUGUGAAGAUGCCGUCUUCCGCGUUUCGUGAUCACAGAUCACUUCCUCUGAUGAAGUGAAUAUGUAAUAUAUAAGAGAUCGAAAUAGAUAGCACAAAAAAUCAUGUAAGGACAUAAUGGAAAAUAAAUUACAUUUAAAGAUAAAACUAAAUAUAAGUGUAAUCUGCGGAUGAAAUAGAAGGAGAUGGUCUCUAAUAAGAGAGUAAAAAUAUAGUACUAGGAGUAUCUUACCAAUGUGUACAUACACAAAUAAUAUUGAAAUUGGUAAUAAAAUUAUUUUGGGCUAAUAUUGAAAUGGUAAUUGGAUAAAUAAUACACAUAAAUAAAAUCCUAGUAUAGUCAAUAGGAUUAUAGAAAUGGGGUGAAAUGACGAUAAGGUGCCUGGUGUAGAAAUGUUUGAGAGGAGUGGUACAAAUGUGCAUAUUUGGUAAAGAUGGAUAGAUCAUAGGUAAAAAAAUCAGUAAAAAAAUAGUAUAAUGUGUGAGACCUACAUAGACUGGUGACCAAAAACAUGGAAUGGGCUCUCUAGAAUGUGGAUAAUGGAGGAGGCAUAACUCUAUGCAGUGAGGUGGCCAUACCAAGAAGACAUACUUUAGAAGAACAGGGUCUUAGAUGUAGGACAUGUAGUCUAGCAUGGUAAAAUAGAUAUAAAAUCGUAGUAUAGAAAUAAUAUAUUUGUAGAGGAUGUGAGGGUGUCUAUGGAAUAAUGCACAUGGUAGGAUCUUAUGUAUGUGUGUAUGAGGGAGCGUGGGUAUGUAUGUUUGCAUAAGAGAGUGAGUAUGACUGUAUGUAUGUGUGUAUGAGAGAGUGUGGGUAUGACUAUGUAUGUUUGUAUGAGAAACUGUGGGUAUGAUUGUAUGUAUGUGUUUAUGGGACAGUGUGGUUAUGUCUGUAUGUACGCUUGUAUAAAAGGGUGUGAGCAUGACUGUGUGCAUGAGAGCGUGUGGCUAUGACUCGAUGUAUGUUUGUAUGAGAAAUAGUGAGUAUGCCUGUAUGUAUGUGUGUAUGGGAGAGUGUAAUUAUGAUAUUUGUGUGAUUUAUAUUAAAGAAGUGGGGUAGGAGCAUAUACACUGUAAAAUAUGUUAGUCCUUUAUAAAUGCCUCUAAUAAUAUUAAUAUGUAAUUCAUACUAGGAGGUGCUCUAGAUAUGUACAAUGUAUUGGUGCAUGUGUCAUCCAUACUAAAAGACUGCUACAAAUAGUAUAAAUGACACAGUCUCUACAUCUCGGAAAGGAGUCAUUAUUGAAGUGUGGAUAUAGUGGUAGAUACCAGAAAAGUAGAUCCCAUGUCACUCAAGUUUGCCCACUCCUACUCUAGGCACUAUAACCACUUCAUUGCAUUGACUCCUGUUACAAUCACUCAGUUCAGUGUUAACCCACUUUCAAACAGUUUAACAAUGACCAAGGAUCCCUUGCAAUCCGCAGUAUGGCCGAUGCUAGAAGUAUGGCUAAUGAAGAGAUUACCCUCCAUCUUCGUUAUACCUAGUCAUAUUUGCAAUGGGCAGCUGUAACAGGCUAUGAGUGGUCAGCUGAUGCUCUUAACCAAUCAGUACUGCCCGUUUUUGCUCGAGCCAAUGCACAAUUAUUAGCAAUAGCAGCAUUGGGACGGGCUGUGGGUGCCUGGGGAACCUCCUUCAAUGUAAAAAAUAAAAUUGUUCAAAAAACUGUUUAUUACUGGAGGGAUUGUGCCAAGGAUUUCAAGCACCAUAACCACUUCAAUAAUGAAGUGGGUAUAAUGCAUAGUGCGUCUCUUUAAUUGGCUAUAGAUGUAGUUCACUUAUAGCAGCAAAACAUUUCUGAGAUCACUCAAUUUAGGAAAUGACUCUGUCUUAAACAAAAUUGAAUGAUAAAAGUAAUCUAUUUAUCUGUAAUAAUCGUGUGAUUGGAGAAACCCCUAUGCCCCCUGUGCCCCCAAAAAAUGAAAGAGGGAGUUUUUAAAGGACACUAUAGUGUCAGGAAUACAAACAUGUAAAAAAAUGUAAAAAACGAUUCCCAGCCCUCCUUGGCUCUCCUUAAAAAGUUAAAGAACCUUUUUUGCAAUUCUGUGUGGGUUUGGUUGCAGCCGGCUUCGCCCAUGGCCCGCCUUCUUGGCUGACAUCAUCAUGAACUCAGCCAAUCAAAUUCUUUCCCAUCGGAGAGCAUUGGGAGGCUAUUGUGGAUGUGCGACAAACACCAAUCAGCAUCUCCUCAUAGAGAUGCAGUGAAUCAAUGCAUCUCUAUUGGAAACAUUCAUCACCUCCAUGCAGAGUGUGAAGAUGUUGAAAGUAGGUUCUGCACCCUGUCACUAGAGGUGUUCUUAGGCAGUAAAGUAAACACUGCCUUUUCCAGCAAAAAGCUUUCAGGGAUAUACUAUACACACCAGAACAACUACAUUAAGCUAUACCUUUAAAUGGUAUUCCGUCUAUCCUUUCAAGCAUGAAGUACAUCAAUGACAUGUUAGAAAUCUCUAUAGGACGGACAAGCAGGGUAAAACUCCAAUGAUGGAGUUUAAAAUGCAUUUGGACUCUAUAAGUACCUGUAAGUAGCUUUGAUUGGCAGCAGUUGCUUCACCACUGCUUCACUGCUAUAGUCUCACACAUGUGAGAGUACAAAAUGGGCAAAGAUCUAACAAGAUAUUGUUGAUAUCAGUGAGAUCCUCCCAAAUGUCUUUAUGCUUGCAAACCAUGUUAACAAUUCCAGAUAUUGAUGGAAUACAAAUUAUGGAAUUGCUUUCAGUGUCUUUUUUUAUUACAAUGCUAGAAGAAACUAGUCCUUAUUUUGUAUUGUCAAUGUAUUUUUAACCCAGUGAACAAAGUAUUUUUAACCCAGUGAACUCAAUAAGCUGGCAGUGUUUAAUAAAUAACUACUUAGUUAUAAAAGCUACCACUUAUUAUAAUUGACUUUAAUGUUCUUGACUUAGAAAAAUACAUCUUAACUUAGGUGCACCAAUGGGGGUUAAUUAGAACAUGAUGCAACAUUAAGGUUCAUAGGAUAAAAUCCUAGUAUUGUUUUUUUUUUUUUUAAAGGGACACUCCUGACCCCUAAAGCUUGCUGAAAUACUUUUAUCUAUUAAUAGUGUGUCCUCAUUUUUUCAUUUAUAAAAAGUGGCGAUUUCAACAGAAAUUGGCAUUUUAAUAAAUUUACCAUGUUACACCCCAACUUGUGCCUCCCUCCUGCUGUCAGAGAACCUGUCCUGUUACUUUUUGGUUUGGUGAGCUCAGUUAAGCUAAACUGAAAGGACCACUAUAGUGCCAGCAAAACAUACUCGUUUUCCUGGCACUAUAGUGCCCUGAGGGUGCCCCCACCCUCAGGGACCCCCUCCCGCCCGGCUCUGGAAGGGGGAAAGGGGUAAAAACUUACCUUUUUUCCAGCGCUGGGCGGGGCGCUCUCCUCCUCCUCUCCGCCUCCGAUCCGCCCCGUCGGCUGAAUGCACACGCGUGGCAAGAGCUGCACGCGCAUUCAGCCGGUCGCAUAGGAAAGCAUUAUCGAUGCUUUCCUAUGGACGCUGGCGUGCUCUCACUGUGAAAAUCACAGUGAGAAGCACGCAAGCGCCUCUAGCGCUUUGGGGGAAGCGCUAGAGGCUUUGGGGGAAGGCUUAACCCAUUGAUAAACAUAGCAGUUUCUCUGAAACUGCUAUGUUUAUAAAACAAUGGGUUAAUCCUAGCUGGACCAGGCACCCAGACCACCUCAUUAAGCUGAAGUGGUCUGGGUGCCUAGAGUGGUCCUUGAAGAGGUACCAACUGUCCAAAGCACCUGCCUUGCAAAAACUUCUCAUUGAGCUGCAUGGGAAAGUCUGUUAUUGGACAUCCACAGAAAGCCUGAGCUGGGUUAGAAGGGGAGAGUUUGCAAAGUCUUCAGACAACCCUCAAAACCCUAAAAAUUUUGCAAGCUGUUUUUAGAUAUAGCCCCAAUUAAAAAAAGCAUAAGUGCAUGCAUGUUUUCUUUUGGGAUAUAUCUACUAAUCAGUGAUUUUUCAAUUAUUUUGUUAUUUUUAUUUUGACUGUGGAGUGUCCAUUUAAUAUGCACUCAUUGGUCAUUCUAGUAGGUACACCUUCACACCUGCUUGUGAGCAGCAGUUCUGUGAGCAGAAAUGUCUUGUUAAUGAGAGAGAGGUCUAAGUCCAGUCAUCAGACAGGUUGACACGAGGGUGAGAGUAUUUGAAAUAACUACGUGUCAGAACAGUGCUAUGCAAAGGAGAAUCUCUGAGCACACAAUAUGUUGAACCUUAAAGUGGAUAGGCUACACUAGGUACUUUUCCUGUCAAAUAAGAACAAAAAAACAACCCUGAGGUUGCAUUGGGUACAGAAAAACUGGACAAAGAUUUGAAACAUGUUCUGUCAUAUUUAAAGAUCUGCUAUGGGAUUACUCCCAUUUUUUCUUAAAUCAUCAUCUCUACAUGUAUGGCUGCUGAUCCAUUCCAUAGUCUUUUAAAUUCCAACACAGUCACAUAUCAUUCUAGUUAAUGAGGUACUGAUUAGGGGAUCACCCAAAUCUUGUUUAAUGAAGAACAGGCCCAUCGCUACUGGACAGGCAAAUCAAGCAACUGUUUGUGGCCCGGGGCCUCAAGCAGAGCCGGUGCUUCCUAUAAAGCUGCAGCCGCCUGAGCGCUCUUUAGAGAGCCUCAGGCGGCUGCAGCACUCCUCGUCAUCACCUCCCCUUCCCUGUAGCGUGGCCGAGCUCCUCUUCCUCCUGGAUGACACUGAGUGCUCACUUCCUUUCAGUCCAGCCUGGAACAGGAAACUGAAUCUCCUGUAUGGCGCGGUACCCGGACGGACUGACAGGAGAAAGAGGAGCACGGCCAUGCUACAGCCAGAGAAGGGGAGGUGAGAAGAACAUGGGGGGGGGGGAGUAAGAACAUAGGAAGGGGAGGGAAAUAGAAGGACACUACAGGGAGGGUGAUAGUAAGAAAGGACACAGGGAGGUGGAGGUGGGAGUAAGAAGGACACAGGAGGAAGGGGUGAGGGAGUAAGAAGGACACAGGGAGAGGGAGGGGAGAGUAAGAAGGGACACAGGGAGGUGCAGGAGGAGUAAGAAAAUAAGGAGAGGGAGUAGUAAGAAAGAACAUAUGAGAGGGAGGAGUAAGAAGAACACAGGAGGGAGGGGGUGAGGAGAUGAGAGAAAGAAACACAGGGAGGGAGGUGCGAGGAGAUGAGGAGGAACACAGGGAGAGAGGUGAGGGAGAAGUGGAGAUGAGAGAGAACACAGGAGGGUUAAGGGAGAAUGGGGGGUGAGAAGAGACUGGUAGGGUGGGGAGAGGAAAGACCACUAAGGGGCAAGGCAGGGCUCUAAGCAGUAUUUGCACUGUAAACCUUUUUUAUUUAUAUAAAGUGUGGGUGAACUUAAACUGUGUGGCUAUGCUGUGGUUCCUGUAGGCUUUGCGUGCGUGUGAGGGAUGGGAGAGGGGGGGAGUUGGGAGUAGUGGGUCCUCCAUGUCCAUUUUGCUUGGGGCCCCCAAAAUUCCUUCAAACGACCCUGAUGAAGAAAUAUAUAAAAAUCACUGCAGGAUCAGCACUAUCCUUUUUGCAAUAGGACCAGCUAGAUGACAAAAACAGUGCUAAUAGUACCUCAAACAUUAUUAGAAUUAAAAAAUAUAUAUUGACAUUGCCCAAAGAGGUAAAGAAAAAAGGUUUUGAGUGAGGAAAGGAAAGGUUCAAUACUGGCUUUACUGCCAGAGUGAUACAAUGAGCAUCAUGUUGAUUUCAUGCUGUAAAUUUCAAAGACGGUAGUUCAUAAGAACAAGGAUAAGCAGCAGACAUUGGUGAUAACAAAGUUACAGGCUGGCAGAGGGUGAAAACAACUCUCCACUGACAGGGAUGACUGCCAACUCUUUCGAAUUUCACUCAGCAAUCAAAGGAUGACAUGAAGUGACCUACAAAAAGGAUGACAAAUGGCAGCUGAGGUGAAGUGCACUGUGAAGACGAUUCAAAACAGACUCCUAGGGUCGGAGCUGAAAUUAUGCAAAGGUAGAUAAAGCCCUUCAUCAAUGAGAAGCAAAGAAGAACAAAGCUGAGGUUUGCAUAAUACCAUAACGGUUGGACCAUAGAGGACUGGGGUAAGAUCAUCUUCUCUGAUGAGUCCAGUUUUUAGCUUUGUCCAACACCUGAUCAUCUAAUGGUUAAAUGGAGACCUGGAGAGGCCUACAAGCAACAGUCUCUCACACCCACUGUGAAGUUUGGUGGAGGAUCAGUAAUAAUCUGGGGUGCUUCAGCAAGGAAUUGGGCAGUUUCAUCUUUGUGAAUGAUGCAUAAAUCAAGCCAUGUACAAGGUUGUCUUACACAAAAACAUGCUCCUUUGUGCUCUGACACAACCCCAUUGAAAAAUUCUGGAAUGUGAUCAAGAGGAAGACGGAUGGUCGCCAGGCCAUCAAACAUAGUUAAGCUACUUGAAUUUUUGCAAUAAGACUUGUGGAUUUUUAGAGGCGACCCCUCCUUUUCUUUAAGAUAUGUAGAAGACUUGUAUAUCUCAGGAGAUAGAAAGUAUAUAAUAUAAUGUUGCAUUGAGAAAUUAUAUAUGUUGUAAAUAGAAUAAUAUACUCACAACUACAGAGACUUUGCAAUGGCUAAGUAAAAACAGCUUNNNNNNNNNNNNNNNNNNNNNNNNNNNNNNNNNNNNNNNNNNNNNNNNNNNNNNNNNNNNNNNNNNNNNNNNNNNNNNNNNNNNNNNNNNNNNNNNNNNNAAGGAAACGGAGGGAGGGGGAAGAAAGAAACAGGGAGGGAGGGAGGAAGGGGGAAAAAAGAGGGAGGGAGGAGGGAGAAGGAAACAGGGAGGGAGGGGGAGAGGGAAACAGGGAAGGAGGGGGAAGAAAGAAACAGGGAGGGGGAAGAAAGAAACAGGGAGGGGAGGGGAGGGGGGAAGAAAGAAACUGACAGGGGAGGGGGGAGAAAGAAACUAACAGGGAGGUGGGGGGGAAAGAAACUAACGGGGGGGAGACAUUGACAGGGAGGGGAAUUGACGGGGAGAGAGAAAUUGACAGGGAGGGGGGAGUGACAGGGGAGGGAGGGGGAAUGAGAGUAACAAGGGAGGAGGGGAGAAGAGAGUGACAAGGGAGGGGGGGGAGAUUGACAUCCAUCACACACACACACACAAUCACACACAAUGCACCCCUUACACACAAAGACAAUGAACCCCUUGCACACAGAAAAACACACAAUGCAUUACACACACAAUGCAUUACACACACACACCCAAUGCAACCCUUACACACAAUGCAUCCCUUGCACACACAGAAACACACAAUGCAUUCCUUACACACACUCAAUGCACCCCUUACAGACUCACACACUUCAUCCCUUACAUACACAGAAACACACCUUGCAGCCCUUACACAUACAAACACAGAUUCACACAAUGCAUUCCUACACACAAAUCAGGACAUUCCCUACACACUCCAUCCCCUGUGAACAAACUCAUUGGUGGAAAAUGAAGGUGGACCCUGGGACCCAGACCUUGAGCUGUGUAAAGGGCCCCCAAAAAAUGGAGCUGCUUCUCGUUCUCCCAGAACAUUGAUUUUUGUGACCACAGUUACAACAGCCUCCAGAGAUCCUGUUAUACACCAGACCAGUGGAGCCAGACUGCAGCUAGAGCCCAUCAUCAUCCUCAUCUGCCUGUAAGUAGGUAAUCUAGUAUAUUAUUCGUGGCACUAAUCUCUAAUUUACCUCACAUUAAAGAAACACUAUAGUCCCCAGAACCACUGCACCUUAAUGUAGUGGUCCUGGUGUCUAUAGCCUGUCCCUGCAGGCCUUUUAAUGUAAACACAGCGGCACUGCAGCACUAGCGUUAGUUAACAUGGCAGGUCAUAUGGGUGGGGCAUUGCGAUGUCACGGGGGGGAGGAGGGGGGCGUCAAACUUUACUUUUGCCUAGGGCGGCAAAAAUCCUUGCACCGGCCCUGGCCAGAGCCCUGCAAAAUGACCUACAGCAGGCCACAAAUGUGCGUGUGUCUGCUCAAACAGUCAGAAACAGACUCCAUGAGGGUGGUAUGAGGGCUCAACGUCCACAGGUGGGGGUUGUGCUUACAGCCCAACACCGUGCAGGAUGUUUGGCAUUUGCCAGAGAGCACCAAGAUUGGCAAAUUCGCCACUGGCGCCCUGUGCUCUUCACAGAUGAAAGCAGGUUCACACUGAGCACAUGUAACAGACUUGACAGAGUCUGGAGACGCUGUGGAGAACGUUCUGCUGCCUGCAACAUCCUCCAGCAUGACCGGUUUGGCAGUGGGUCAGUAAUGGUGUGGGGUGGCAUUUCUUUGGGGGGCCGAACAGCCCUCCAUGUGCUAGCCAGAGGUAGCCUGACUGCCAUUAGGUACCGAGAUGAGAUCCUCAGACCCCUUGUGAGACCAUAUGCUGGUGCGGUUGGCCCUGGGUUCCUCCCAAUGCAAGACAAUGCUAGACCUCAUGUCGCUGGAGUGUGUCAGCAGUUCCUGCAAGACGAAGGCAUUGAUGCUAUGGACUUGCCCGCCCAUUCCCCAGACCUGAAUCCAAUUGAGCACAUCUGGGACAUCAUGUCUCGCUUCAUCCACCAACGUCACAUUGCACCACAGACUGUCCAGGAGUUGGCAGAUGCUUUAGUCCAGGUCUGGGAAGAGAUCCCUCAGGAAACCAUCCACCACCUCAUCAGGAGCAUGCACAGGCAUUGUAGGGAGGUCAUACAGGCAUGUGGAGGCCACACACACUACUGAGCCUCAUUUUGACUUGUUUUAAGGACAUCACAUCAAAGUUGGAUCAGCCUGUAGUGUGUUUUUCCACUUUAAUUUUGAGUGUGACUCCAAAUCCAGACCUCCACGGGUUGAAAAAUUUGAUUUCCAUUUUUUUAUUUUUGUGUGAUUUUCUUGUCAGCACAUUCAUGUAAAGAAGAAAGUAUUUCAGAAGAAUAUUUAAUUCAUUCAGAUCUAGGAUGUGUUAUUUUUGUGUUACCUUUAUUUUUUCUGAGCAGUGUAUUUCUUUCUAUCUGUCUAUAUAUAUCUAUCUCUAUCUAUAUCUAUCUAUCUAUCUAUCUAUCUAUUUCUAUUUAUUUCUCUCUAUCUAUAUCUAUUUCUCUCUCUCACACUCAUUCUCUCACAGUCACUCACCCACACUUAGUCACCCACACUCAGUCACCCACUAACCCCCAGUCACCCACCGACACUCAGUCACCCACUCACCAUCGGUCACCCACACUCAGUCACCAACACUCAGUCAGUCAUUCACCCACACUCAGUCAGUGACCCACACUCAGUCACUCACCCACACUCAGUCACUCACUCACCCACCCACACUCAGUCACUCGCCCACCCACACUCAGUCAGUGACCCACACUCAGUCACUCACUCACCCACACUCAGUCAUAAAAUAAGUUUACUUACAGUUUGAAUCCUCCUCUCCUGCUCGGUCUCUGGUCUUCAGCCUGUCAGCACCAGCUGAGACUGUGUUUGUUGAUGCAGGAGAUCUGAUCUCCCACAAUCCCACGUGGUGCUGACAGCCUGCGGACAGGAUGCUCGUGCACAGUGCUGCCCUGUCUGCUGACAGCACAUCUGAGUGGAUGGAUGCGAAUUAUGCAUCCAUCAAUUCGGAAGUCCCUCUGGUGGCAGUCUGAGUGACUGCAACUAGAGGUGUUCCUAGCUUUCAAUGUAAACACUGUAUUUUCUCUGAAAAUACAGUGUUUGCAUGAGAAAGGCUGCAGGGCGCUAUAGUUCUCACCUGAACAACCUCAUUAAGCUGAAGUUGUUCAGGUGACUAUAGUGUCCCUUUAAAUAUAUUUACAAGUAGAGAGCUACAUGACAAAUAAGUUAAUUCAGAUUAUAAAAGUGAUUGUCCAUGUUUUAUUCCGAGGUGUAAUUUGUAUAGAAGUAUUUGUUUCCCUUUAACUAAUUCCCAGCAUGAGCUAAAUCUCAGGAUAAUACUCCCAAUUACAAAAUUACAACACUGACCAUAUAUGUGUACAUACACAUAUAUACAUUAUUAUCACACCAUGGGACACUUUCAGUGACUUAUAUUAACAUUCAAUCACAGCAAACACAUCAAUAUUGAUAUAUUCCAUAUUAACCGGAGGAUAUUUUCCAUGUAAUUAUUUCCACACUGAUUAAGUUUAGCUAAUAAAGUAAUAAAACAGUUAAGUUAUACUCACUGAUUUAUUUUUACAUACACUUAUAUAUCUGAAAUUUCACAGUUUAAUGGCAAGUUUUUUUUUUUUAGAGUAUUUUCUUUUCUUUUUUCAAAUAUAAAUAUUCAAUGUCCACCAAGUGUUAUUGGUUAAAAAUGUAAUGAAAUACAAUGAUAUUUGUGGCCAACAGGAUAGCCAUCAUACAAUAAUAUGCUACAAUAAAACAUGUCUCUAUCUGUUGGUCUGCCUGUCAAUUUAUAUAGCACGUAAAUAGAACCAGCAUCUCUGUGUUAAUCACCAUAUUGCUGUAUUAACAAUCUAUGUUAUAAAUAACAGUAUAUUUACCAGACUCAUAAAUUUACAUAUCUGUUUGAAGAACUAGAAUCCAAUGAGUCUUAAAAUACAUGAAAUAGCAAAAGUAAGGAUAAAGGUAGAUGAAUGGCACUUUCAACUAAAUGAUCUCUUUUCUUGUAAAUUUUAGAUAAUUUCUGGUUUAGUAAAAAACAGGUCUGUGAUUAUUAAAAAUAAUCUAGUCUGGUUUUAUCUAGACAACGCGUACUGAAUCAUCGAUUGAAAUAAUAUAUAUAUAAUAUUAAUAGUUUGCAACUCUUGGUUUCCUUCCAUGGUUAUUUACUAGGUGAAUCAUGAUAAAUAUUUUUUUUACUUGCACUCCUGUGUAAUCUAAUACCCCCUUAGGAGCAGAAGAAGAAUUCUCUCUGUUAAAUGAUGUAACUAAUUGUCUUUCAGAGAUGUGGUACUGGGUGUUCCUGUGGGCUCUGUUCUCUUCUCUGUUUGUUCACGGAGCAGCGGCAGUUCUGAUGUUUGUAAUGCUACAGAGACACAAACAGGGGAGACUGAUAUCUGUGGUGUUGGUCAGCAUUGGCUUCCUGGCUUCUGUCACUGGAGCAAUGAUAACUAGUAAGUUCCACUUCUCUAAUUCAUUCAUUGAUAUAUUGUACUAAAAGUGAAGUCAUUUUUAAGCCAUGUUUGUGCUUGUGUUCAAGUUUUCAUAUCUCUUAAGAUGUCUUAAGUUACAGUAUCAUAAUUACAGGUAUAGAUUCCUAUCAAACAACAGCAGACUCACCAAAAUAUUUACAUUGCAAUGUGCCCAGGUUUCUGUAGAUGCAAACUCUUAAAGAAACACUUCAAACACCAUAACCACUAGUGGUUAUAGUGCCAGGAGUUGCCCAGUCCACCCUUCACAUCCAUCCCCAUCCCCACACACACACACUCAAUUGUAACUGGUCAAAUUGGUUUAUAACAAUUUGACUUUUCAUCUGGGGUCCACAGGGCCAUGCUCUUCACCCAGGGCCAGUGCAAGGAUCUUAGACUACAAAAAUGCAAUCGCAAACUACACACAUAGGUACUGAUAGACAUGCAUCGCCGCCUCCCCUGCUGCCAGAGGGUCCUGCAAGAAAACUCUGGUUAAUGUAACUGAGCUAUGCCUUGCCUAGCUCAUUGGUUAACAGUGCUCACCGGAAGCUCUUAACCAGUGAGCAAGGAUCUACAUGGUGGGGCUUAGCACAGUGGCAUAAGUUUCUGGCAAGUGACUCCUGUCAAUUACCCCUGUUCUUAACAAGUAUAGAUCCUGACACUGGCCAGAAUUUCACCCCUUUCCUCCUAAAUUUAGAAUCCAUUAUUUACAGGCAAUGUGCCUGUAUCUCCCCAAUUCACAUCAUGACAUAUCUUCCCCUAGCAAUUGAAGCAAUUAUCCCCUUCCAAACUCACUAUCUGCACCUGCUUAAAAUGUUUUGCCGCACCUGCUUCCCUACACAGUUAUAGAGAGUCACACAGAACACACUCACAGAUAGGGACACUCAUCCAUAUGCUCCUACAGACAGACACUCUCACAGAUACACACUUAUAGACACACUCACAAAUGCACUCCUAUAGACACAGACACACUCACAGAUACACUCCUGUUGACAUACUCUGAAAUACAAAAACUUAUAUACACACUCACAAAUACACUCCUAUAGACACACUCACAAAUACUCAAUUAUAGACACACUCACAGAUACAUUCAUAUAGACACACUCACAAAUACACUCCUAUAGACACACUCACAAAUACACAAUUAUAGACACACUCACAGAUGCACUCCUAUAGACACACUCACCGAUACACAAUUAUAGACACACUCACAGAUACACUCAUAUAGACACACUCACAAAUACACAAUUAUAGACACACUCACAGAUGCACUCCUAUAGACACACUCACGAUACACACUUAUAGACACACUCACAGAUACACUCAUAUAGACACACUCACAAAUACACAAUUAUAGACACACUCACAGAUGCACUCCUAUAGACACACUCACAGAUACACACUUAUAGACACACUCACAAGUGCACACUUAUAGACACACUCACAAAUACACUCAUAACGACACACUCACAGAUGCACUUCUAUAGACACACUCACAUGUACACUCCUAUAGACACACUCACAGAUAUACACAGAUGCAUAACAUUAUACUCAGAUACAGACUUACAAUCAUGCAUGCAGACACACACUCAGUCACACAUUUACACUCUGACACACAGACAACACACUCACAUACCCAGAUACACACACACAGUAUCAGAUGUGACCCACCCCUCAGAAUCUCUCCAGCACACAGUGUGCACCAAUCUACAGUUCCUACUAAUUCCCCUUUCUGAAAGCCCUACACCAUCCCCCACUUCCCAUAUUAUCUAAAAGUCUGCAUGCUGUGGCUAUUCCUACCUAUGGGGAGCUGCAGCCCUUGCGGUCCGAUGACACGUAGUACAGUGGGAGGGCUGAUUGAGGGUCAGGGGGUGGGGCUUUGCAGACAGCGGCCAACAAUCUGCUUCAGGGUGGCACAAACCCUCAGGGAGGUCCUGCAGCAUCCAGCUUCGUGUUGGGCUUCAGCAGAUUGACAUAGCACCAGUAGGCUGUCUAGAACCAUAAGUAUAGAGCUCCAUAGGGCGGGCAGACAGAAAUUGUUCUGCAAGAAAUAUUUACAAAUGCAAGUCUCUGGCAGGGGCCCGGGGAUUUGGAUUUUUGCGCCACCCUGCUAUGGCGCCCUAAGACGGCUGCCUAGGAAGCCUUAUGGACACACCGGCCCUGUCUUCACCUUCACUACAGUUACAGGAGAGCCGUAAUCACCGGGCCAGCAGUGUUAGCUAAACACUCUCAACCAAUGAGAUUAGUUCUGGCCGAACUGUUAUGACUAAAUAAUAUACAUAAAAUAUUAGGUGCGCCAAUAUAAAGUCCAAUUAGUCUACAAUUGCUGGAGUUUGUUCUCAACUGGUAACCAUCCAGAUUUCAAAUGGUGGGAGUAUAUGAAAUUAAAGCAGAAAAUAACCAGUAAUGGUGCAGAGCGUAUGGAACUGGGUGCAGGACAUACAACAAUAAUAUAUAUGGUUUAUCACUCACAUUUGAGAGAGCUAUAAGACCAGCUCUGAGUUUAGCAGCAUGCAGUGGUACAAUCUCCACUGAUGGAUAUGUAGAUCUGGGGGCUGGUCUUUUGAUAUAUAAAAGAUAAAAAUGGCAAACAAUGGUGCUCACUGUAAUCAAUAUAUUGAUGGUUAUAAGAGUAAGAAUUUUCAACUCACAUGUCGUGGUGCAGUAGAUCCUGCUCAGAUGGUAGCGCUUGGGUGCUAUAAUCCCCACCAUGGAUAUGAUGUUAAGUAGAUUCUCCAAGGUGUAGUUUCCAAAGUUUUCUUAUUCAGUAUCUUUUUAAGUGCCAGGAACAGAAGAAGUAAAAAAAAUAAUAAAAGCAACUAAAAGCAUAAAUAGUGUAAUAAAUGAACAAACACAACUAGUAGUGAAUGCCAAAUAUACUUUAAUGCUUUAAAAACAAAAGUUAAAACAACACAAUGCGUUUUGCCAACUAGGAGGGGCUUUCUCAAGUGUAGAUCUGCAAGAAAUAUUUAAAAAUCCAAGUCUCUGACAGGGGCCAGGAUUUGGAUUUUUGCGCCCCCCCUGCUGUGGCGUCCUAAGACGGCUGCCUGGGAAGCCUUGUGGAUGCGCUGGCCCUGUCUUCACCUUCACUACAGCUACAGGAGAGCCGAAAUCACUGGGCCAGCAGUGUCAGCUAAUCGCUCUCAACCAAUGAGCUUAGCUCAGGCCGACAUGGUAUGAAUGUAUGGAGAGUGUGGGUAUAACAGCAUGUGUGUUUGAAGAGUGUGGGUAUAUGUGUGUGAAUGGGAGAGUGUAGAUAUUACUACAUGUAUGCAGGGCCGCCUUUACCGCGGGGCAAAUGGGGUAGCUGCCCUGGGCCAAGUUUCUCCUGGGGGCCCGAAGCAGUUGCACCGUGGGCCCUGCUGGUCUUAAGCAUUUCUCCCACCAGCCGCACACUAAGGAGGCUUCUGUCAGCCGGGGCCCGGUCUUGCGCUCUAGCGCUUUAAGAGCGCGACCAGGCCCUCUUGCUUUUUUGGCAGCUGGCUGGGAGGAAGUGACGGCUGCAAGUCACUUCCUCCCAUAAAGAAAGGAGCCGCACGGGAGGAGGAAGAGGCAGAGAGGAGGGGGUCUAGGCCGAGAUAUCCAGACCGCAGCUUCAUACAGCUUCAGCCACCAGUGGGAAAGCCACCUUCCAAGGUAGGAAACUGGAGGGUGGGUUUGAUAGUGUAAAUUUUGUGUGUGUGUCAGUAUGUCUGCCAGUGUGUGUGUGUGUGUGUGUGUGUAUCUGUGAAUGUCUUCCUCUGAUGAAGUGAUCACUUCCUCUGAGGAAGUGAUCUGUGAUCACGAAACGCGUAAGGCGGCAUCUUCACAUCGGUACACAUCAGUUCCUGAGAGCAAGCACUUUUGAAAUGCAUCCAGAGCCGCAGUGGAACGCAUGUGGCCAGAAUCCAGUGUCAUUCCAGCACAAGGAGGUCCUAAUUCACUUUUCUCUGGCUGGCAAGAGAGUGAUUUUAACAUCUUUGGACCCCAAGUCUGCAAUACCUGGUACUAUUGCUACUUCUAUAUGCUAUUCUUAUUUGGGACUGUUUAACUUAUUAGUCUUUUAUAUAUCUAUGUGUUUUUGUCGACAGUUUACAUGUACUAAUAAAUUUUUAAAUAGUACUCUGUCUGCUGCACUGUAUAAUAGACUUUACUAUUAAGAUUUUAACCCUUUGUGGGAUUCAACUAUAAUAUUUUGUAUAUUGGUUCUGUACUUUAUCAGUCCAGAAACCUAUACUAGAUCAAUAUUUCAGCAGCCUGUGGAUUUUACCUACCUUAUACUAAAGGAGGUAAAGAUCUGACUAGCUGAUACAUCCACAUUCACUGAGUCCUGUAUAUAUUAUUGAUUUAUUUCAAUAAGUAUUCAACAUAUUCCAUACAAAAACCUGUUUACAUUGAAACACACAAAAACUGCCUAGUGUUAAAUACAAACCUGCAAACAUGGUUAAAUGGUAGAGCCCCAGCUGUCAAUGCAUUGCUGGAGUUGCCUGACAGAUGGGGAUCUACCUUUUAAACAUCCUUGCAAUAGGGAGGUCCAAAAAAAUAUUCUUGCACCUCUCUACUUUAUGUUGCCCCUGCGUUAAGGGUGAUAACGUGAUUGCACGCCUGGGGAGGGUGUACAGGGUCCAGGGGGCCCAAGCAAAUGCUUUGCCCAGGGUCCAAUCAAAGCAUCUCUGAAAUUUACACAUUUGCAUGUAUGUGUGUAUGGGAGAAUUUGGAUAUGAUUACAUGUAUGUGUUUAUGGGAAAGUGUGGGUAUGACUGUAUAUAUGUGUGUACAGGAUUCUGGGCAUGGUCUUAUGUAUGGAAGGGAUGAGGACAGGGGUUAGACUGUCCAAAUGGAGUGGAAAGACUGAGAAUGAACGUGGAAUAAUAUGGGAAGGGUAGGAAAAAGGGGCUUUAACUCACAUAGAUCUGGACUUGUAUAAAAAAGCCCCCAUCAAGGCUAGAAAUGUAUAGUAAAUUAUAAGCAUACUAGAUCCUAAAUGUACCAGGAAAUGUAUAGUGAGAUAGAAGCCACAAAAAAUUGAAAUAAACAGCUGUAGAGGGAAUAUACAGGAAGAGCGCUGCCCAAAUUGGGAAAAGUUGGGCACUGUUAACUAAACAGUGAACUGGUAAAAAAAAAGAAAAGAAAAAUCAAAUACAAUACAAAUGUUUAUUAAUAAAAGGCUUGUAAACCAAAAAUAAGUACCGUAUUUUCCGGCGUAUAAGACGACUGGGCGUAUAAGACGACCCACAACUUUUCCAGUUAAAAUAAAGAGUUUGGGAUAUACUCACCGUAUAAGACUACCCCUCUUCCAAUGCACACCAAAUAAAAAUUAGCCAUGAUGUACAGUGAGCAGACAGAGCUACACAGCAAGACAUUAAAUAAUGAUAAUCUGAAAUAGCAUUUAAAGCCCAGGUAUGUGCCAGGCUGUUUGGGCAUAUAAUCCAUGCCUGCUGGUCUAGCACACAGGAGGCUAAUUGAAAAAUAUUCUCUUUUUACUCCCCCCCCUCCAUUCUUUUUUACUCCCCCCCCAAUCCUCCCUAUGUUCUUCUCACCUCCCCUUCCCUGUGCAGAGUGGGUGGCCGAGCUCCUCUUCGUCCUGUCAGUCCGGCCGGGUACCGCGCGUUACAGGAGAUUCAGUUACCUGUUCCCGGCCGGAUUGAAAGGAAGUGAGCACUCAGGACAAAGAGGAGCUCGGCCACCCACUCUGCACAGGGAAGGGGAGGUGAGAAGAGAGGCAGUGCAGCAGCCGGCUGAGCGCUCUCUAUAGAGCGCUCAGGCGGCUGCAGCAUUAGAAGUGCCGGUGAUGGGGGGCCUUGUGGAUGCGCUGGCCCUGUCUUCACCUUCACUACAGCUACAGGAGAGCCAAAAUCACUGGGCCCCUGCAGCUAUAUAGACCCUAUACCCGGCGUAUAAGACGACCCCCGACUUUGGAGAAGAUUUUCCACGGUUAAAAAGUCAUCUUAUACGCCAGAAAAUACUGUAUAUCAAUGGGCAUCAAAAUGGCAGUCCAUAUAUAUUAAAAGUCAGUUUCUUGUUGCAGAAAUGUAUCAGCUCAAAAAAUAGCAAAAUCUUGUUACUACAUAGCAGGAGCUAGAAUCAUCCGAGGCUGAUAUAUUCUAACCUAUAUAACACAGUGGAAAAUAGGUAUGAAGUCUAUUCCAACAGCAUACAAUACCUGACCUUAUAGUGGUCUCUUGUAUUGAAAGAUGUCUUGAAAUCUACAAAAUAUAAAAGAUAGGAGACAGUGUUCUCUGUUGACACUUUAUUUAUAUUGACACAAUGGUUAAAAACACUUCAGGAAUAAUAGGCAUAUCUGUGGAAAUGUGGAUAUCCUAGCUCCAGAAGCUGUAGGAAUGAAAUCCCUUUCGAUGUAAUAACUUUCGCCAGCUUGAAAGUAGGGAAGCAGCACAUUGGUGACUGGGGAUCACCGCGUGCAUUCCACCGGAGAACCGGCAAAACGCUCCUGCCUUCCACUGCGAAUAUUCUCCACAAAAGUAUCUGUUCUGUAUAAUAGCCUUAUGCGUUUUGUGACUAACAACGUCACUUCUUCAGAGGCUAGUGACGUGAUAAGUCUCAACACGAUUUAUAUAUGGUCCCUAAUCAUGUAACUUUUAUUGGAACAAUAUGUUAGUAUGUUUAUUUAAGACAAACAAUUAAAGGACCACUAUAGUGCCAGGAAAACAUACUCGUUUUCCUGGCACUAUAGUGCCCUGAGGGUGCCCCCACCCUCAGGGACCCCCUCCCGCCCUGCUCUGGAAAGGGGAAAGGGGUUAAAAUUAUCAAUGCUUUCCUAUGGACGCUUGCGUGCUCUCACUGUGAAAAUCACAGUGAGAAGCACGCAAGCGCCUCUAGUGGCUGUCAAUGAGACAGCCGCUAGAGGGAAUGGGGGAAGGCUUAACCCAUUCAUAAACAUAGCAGAUUCUCUGAAACUGCUAUGUUUAUGUAAAAAUGGGUUAACCCUAGCUGGACCUGGCACCCAGACCACUUCAUUAAGCUGAAGUGGUCUGGGUGCCUAGAGUGGUCCUUUAAAGAGGUGCACUGUGAUCUUCUAAGAACGAUAUGAACAAAAUGCAUAUGUAAUAAACAAAUAUAAAAAUAUACCAAUACAAUAAAUAAAGAUGAAAAUGGGACUAUGUAAAAACUGUCUUAAAUAAGAAAAAACAUAAUACUUUUGGCAUAUCGCUACUGAAUGAAUAAACAAAAAAUACCAGACUUCGUGUUGAUAUUUGAAUGGUGGGCACUUGGAUAAAGAUUUAGCAUGAUUGCGAUAUAGCUGUGAAACACCCAAUGUAAGAAUUCAAAAAGAAUAAGAAUAAGUAGCUCAGUAAAAAGGAAAGAAGCAAGUGAGCGCUAGCUGUCAUACAUUGCGCAGCUAUUCUUGUAACACCAGGUUAAUGAGUGCGUUAAGAACAUUGGUAAUACUACCACAUAGAAUAUGUAAUAUAUAAGAGAUCAAAAUAGAUAGCACAAAAAAUCAUGUAAGGACAUAAUGGAAAAUAAAUUACAUUUAAAGAUAAAACUAAAUAUAAAUAUAAGUAUAAUCGGUGGAUGAAAUAGAAGGAGAUGGUCUCUAAUAAGAGAGUAAAAAUAUAGUACUAGGAGUAUCUUGCCAAUGCGUACAUACACAAAUAAUAUUGAAAUUGGUAAUAAAAUUAUUUUGGGCUAAUAUUGAAAUGGUAAUUGGAUAAAUAAUACACAUAAAUAAAAUCCUCGUAUAGUCAAUAGGAUUAUUGAAAUGGGGUGAAAUGACGAUAAGGUGCCUGGUGUAAAAAUGUUGGAGAGGAGUGGUACAAAUGUGCAUAUUGUGUAAAGAUUGAUAGAUCAUAGGUAAAAAAAAUCAGUUAAAAAAAUAGUAUAAUGUGUGAGACCUACAUAGACUGGUGACCAAAAACAUGGAAUGGGCUCUCUAGAAUGUGGAUAAUGGAGGAGGCAUAACUCAAUGCAGUGAGGUGGCCAUACCAAGAAGACAUACUUUAGAAGAACAGGGUCUUAGAUGUAGGACAUGUAGUCUAGCAUGGUAAAAUAGAUAUAAAAUCGUAGUAUAGAAAUAAUCUAUUUGUAGAGUAUGUGAGGGUAUCUAUGGAAUAAUGCACAUGGUAGGAUCUUAUGUAUGUGUGUAUGAGGGAGCGUGGGUAUGUAUGUUUGCAUAAGAGAGUGAGUAUGACUGUAUGUAUGUGUGUAUGAGGGAGCGUGGGUAUGUAUGUUUGCAUAAGAGAGUGAGUAUGACUGUAUGUAUGUGUGUAUGAGAGAGUGUGGGUAUGACUAUGUAUGUUUGUAUCAGAAACUGUGGGUAUGAUUGUAUGUAUGUGUGUAUGGAACAGUGUGGUUAUGUCUGUAUGUACACUUGUAUAAGAGAGUUUGAGCAUGACUGUGUGCAUGAGAGCGUGUGGGUAUGACUCGAUGUAUGUUUGUAUGAGAAAUAGUGAGUAUGAAUGUAUGUAUGUGUGUAUGGGAGAGUGUAAUUAUGAUAUUUGUGUGAUUUAUAUUAAAGAAUUGGGGUAGGAGCAUAUACACUGUAAAAUAUGUUAGUCCUUUAUAAAUGCCUCUAAUAAUAUUAAUAUGUAAUUCAUACUAGGAGGUGCUCUAGAUAUGUACGAUGUAUUGGUGCAUGUGUCAUCCAUACUAAAAGACUGCUACAAAUAGUAUAAAUGACACAGUCUCUACAUCUCGGAAAGGAGUCAUUAUUGAAGUGUGGAUAUAGUGGUAGAUACCAGAAAAGUAGAUCCCAUGCCACUCAAGUUUGCCCACUCCUACUCUAGGCACUAUAACCACUUCAUUGCAUUGACUCCUGUUACAAUCACUCUGUUCAGUGUUAACCCACUUUCAAACAGUUUAACAAUGACCAAGGAUCCCUUGCAAUCAGCAGUAUGGCCGAUGCUAGAAGUACGGCUAAUGAAGAGAUUACCCUCCAUCUUCAUUAUACCUAGUCAUAUUUGCAAUGGGCAGCUGUAACAGGCUGUGAGUGGUCAGCUGAUGCUCUUAACCAAUCAGUACUGCCAGUUUUUGCUCGAGCCAAUGCACAAUUAUUAGCAAUAGCAGCAUUGGGACGGGCUGUGGGUUCCUGGGGAACCUCAUUCAAUGUAAAAAAUAAAAUUGUUCAAAAAACAGUUUAUUACUGGAGGGAUUGUGCCAAGGACUUCAAGCACCAUAACCACUUCAAUAAUGAAGUGGGUAUAGUGCAUAGUGCUUCUCUUUAAUUGGCUGUAGAUGUAGUUCACUUAUAGCAGCAAAACAUUUCUGAGAUCACUCAAUUUAGGAAAUGACUCUGUCUUAAACAAAAUUGAAUGAUAAUAGUAAUCUAUUUCUAGUUAUCUGUAAUAAUCGUGUGAUUGGAGAAACCCCUAUACCCCCUGUGCCCCCAAAAACUGAAAGAGGGAGUUUUUAAAGGACACUAUAGUGUCAGGAAUAAAAACAUUAAAAAAAAUGUAAAAAACGAUUCCCAGCCCUCCUUGGCUCUCCUUAAAAAGUUAAAGAACCUUUUUUGCAAUUCUGUGUGGGUUUGGUUGCAGCCGGCUUCGCCCAUGGCCCGCCUUCUUGGCUGACAUCAUCAUGAACUCAGCCAAUCAAAUUCUUUCCCAUCAGAGAGCAUUGGGAGGCUAUUGUGGAUGCGCGACAAACGCCAAUCAGCAUCUCCUCAUAGAGAUGCAGUGAAUCAAUGCAUCUCUAUUGGAAACAUUCAGCACCUCCAUGCAGAGUGUGAAGAUGUUGAAAGUAGGUUCUGCACCCUGUCACUAGAGGUGUUCUUAGGCAGUAAACACUGCCUUUUCCAGCAAAAAACUUUCAGGGAUAUAGUGUACACACCAGAACAACUACAUUAAGCUAUACCUUUAAAUGGUAUUCCGUCUAUCCUUUCAGGCAUGAAGUACAUCAAUGACAUGUUAGAAAUCUCUAUAGGACGGACAAGCAGGGUAAAAUUCCAAUGAUGGAGUUUAAAAUGCAUUUGGACUCUAUAAGUACCUGUAAGUAGCUUUGAUUGGCAGCAGUUGCUUCACCACUGCUUCACUGCUAUAGUCUCACACAUGUGAGAGUACAAAAUGGGCAAAGAUCUAACAAGAUAUUGUUGAUAUCAGUGAGAUCCUCCCAAAUGUCUUUAUACUUGCAAACCAUGUUAACAAUUCCAGAUAUUGAUGGAAUACAAAUUAUGGAAUUGCUUUCAGUGUCUUUUUUUAUUACAAUGCUAGAAGAAACUAGUCCUUAUUUUGUAUUGUCAAUGUAUUUUUAACCCAGUGAACAAAGUAUUUUUAACCUAGUGAACUCAAUAAGCUGGCAGUGUUUAAUAAAUAACUACUUAGUUAUAAAAGCUACCACUUAUUAUAAUUGACUUUAAUGUUCUUGACUUAGAAAAAUACAUCUUAACUUAGGUGCACCAAUGGGGGUUAAUUAGAACACGAUGCAACAUUAGGGUUCAUAGGAUAAAAUCCUAGUAUUUAUUUUUUAAAGGGACACUCCUGACCCCCUAAAGCUUGCUGAAAUACUUUUAUCUAUUAAUAGUGUGUCCUCAUUUUUUCAUUUACAAAAAGUGGCGAUUUCAACAGAAAUUGGCAUUUUAAUAAAUUUACCAUGUUACACCCCAACUUGUGCCUCCCUCCUGCUGUCAGAGAACCUGUCCUGUUACUUUUUGGUUUGGUGAGCUCAGUUAAGCUAAACUGAAAGGACCACUAUAGUGGCAGCAAAAUAUACUCGUUUUCCUGGCACUAUAGUGCCCUGAGGGUGCCCCCACCCUCAGGGAUCCCCUCCCGCCCGGCUCUGGAAGGGGGAAAGGGGUAAAAACUUACCUUUUUCCAGCGCUGGGCGGGGAGCUCUCCUCCUCUCCGCCUCUGAUCCGCCCCGUCGCCGGGAAUGCGCACGCGUGACAAGAGCUGCGCGCGCAUUUAGCCGGUCGCAUAGGAAAGCAUUAUCAAUGCUUUCCUAUGGACGCUGGCGUGCUCUCACUGUGAAAAUCACAGUGAGAAGCACGCAAGCACCUCUAGCGGCUGUCAAUGAGACAGCCGCUAGAGGCUUUGGGGGAGGGCUUAACCCAUUGAUAAACAUAGCAGUUUCUCUGAAACUGCUAUGUUUAUAAUACAAUGGGUUAAUCCUAGCUGGACCAGGCACCCAGACCACCUCAUUAAGCUGAAGUGGUCUGGGUGCCUAGAGUGGUCCUUGAAGAGGUACCAACUGUCCUGCAUGGGAAAGUCUGUUAUAGGACAUCCACAGAAAGCCUGAGCUGGGUUAGAAGGGCAGAGUUUGCAAAGUCUUCAGACAACCCUCAAAACCCUCAAAAUUUUGCAAGCUGUUUUUAGAUAUAGCCCCAAUUAACAAAAGCAUAAUUAAGUGCAUGCAUGUUUUCUUUUGGGAUAUAACUACUAAUCAGUGGUUUUUCAAUUAUUUUGUUAUUUUUAUUUUGACUGUGGAGUGUCCAUUUAAUAUGCACUCAUUGGUCACUAUAGUAGGUACACCUUCACACCUGCUUGUGAGCUGAGCAGCAGUUCUGUGAGCAGAAAUGUCUUGUUAAUGAGAGAGAGGUCUAAGUCCAGUCAUCAGACAGGUUGACACGAGGGUGAGAGUAUUUGAAAUAACUAUGUGUCAGAACAGUGCUAUGCAAAGGAGAAUCUCUGAGCACACAAUAUGUUGAACCUUAAAGUGGAUAGGCUACACUAGGUACUUCUCCUGUCAAAUAAGAACAAAAAAACAACCCUGAGGUUGCAUUGGGUACAGAAAAACUGGACGAAGAUUUGAAACAUGUUCGGUCAUAUUUAAAGAUCUGCUAUGGGAUUACUCCCAUUUUUUCUUAAAUCAUCAUCUCUACAUGUAUGGCUGCUGAUCCAUUCCAGAGUCUUUUAAAUUCCAACACAGUCACAUAUCAUUCUAGUUAAUGAGGUACUGAUUAGGGGAUCACCCAAAUCUUGUUUAAUGAAGAACAGGCCCAUCGCUACCGGACAGGCAAAUCAAGCAACUGCUUGUGGCCCGGGGCCCCAAGCAGAGCUGGUGCUUCCUAUAAAGCUGCAGCCGCCUGAGCGCUCUUUAGAGAGCCUCAGGCGGCUGCAGCACUCCUCGUCAUCACCUCCCCUUCCCUGUAGCGUGGCCGAGCUCCUCUUCCUCCUGGCUGUCAGUCAGGCCGGGUACCGUGCAGUACAGGAGAUUCAGUUUCCUGUUCCCUGGCCAGACUGACAGGAAGUGCACACUGAGGGCUCACUUCCUUUCAGUCCAGCCUGGAACAGGAAACUGAAUCUCCUGUACGGCGUGGUACCCGGAUGGACUGACAGGAGGAAGAGGAGCUCGGCCACGCUACAGCCAGAGAAGGGGAGGUGAGAAGAACAUGGGGGGGAGCAAGAACAUAGGGAAGGGAGGGGAGUAAGAAGGACACACAGGGAGGGGAGAGGACACAGGAGUAGUAAGAAGGACACAGGAAGGGGGUGAGGGGAGUAAGAAGGACACAGGGAGAGGGAGGAGAGGAGUAAGAAGGACACAGGGAGGGUGGGAGGGGAGUAAGAACAUAAGGAGAGGGGAGUAGUAAGAAGAACAUGGGAGGGAGGAGUAAGAACACAGGAGAGGGGGUGAGGAGUUGAGGAAAACACAGGGAUGGGAGGUGCGAGAUGAGGAAAACACAGGAGAGGGUGAGGAGAAGCAGAGAUGAGGAGAACACAGGGAGGGGAGGUGAGAAAGAGACUGGUAGGUGGGGGGAGAGGAAAGACCACUAAGGGGCAGGGCAGGGCUCUAAGCAGUAUUUGCACUGUAAACCUUUUUUAUUUAUAUAAAGUGUGGGUGAACUUAAACUGUAUGGCUAUGCUGUGGUUCCUGUAGGCUUUGGCGCGUGGGGGGAGGGGAGUUGGGGGUAGGGGGUCCUCCAUGUCCAUUUUGCUUGGGGCCCCUAAAAUUCCUUCAAACGGCCCUGAUGAAGAAAUAUAUAAAAAUCACUGCAGGAUCAGCACUAUCCUUUUUGCAAUAGGACCAGCUAGAUGACAAAAACAGUGCUAAUAGUACCUCAAACAUUAUUAGAAUUAAAAAAUAUAUAUUGACAUUGUCCAAAGAGGUAAAGAAAAAAGGUUUUGAGUGAGGAAAGGAAGGGUUCAAUACUGGCUUUACUGCCAGAGGGAUACAAUGAGCAUCAUGUUGAUUUCAUGCUGUAAAUUUCAAAGACGGUAGUUCAUAAGAACAAGGAUAAGCAGCAGACAUUGGUGAUAACAAAGUUACAGGCUUGCAGAGGGUGAAAACAACUCUCCACUGACAGGGAUGACUGCCAACUCUUUCGAAUUUCACUCAGCAAUCAAAGGAUGACAUGAAGUGACCUACAAAAAGGAUGACAAAUGGCAGCUGAGGUGAAGUGCACUGUGAAGACGAUUAAAAACAGACUUCUAGGGGCAGAGCUGAAAUUAUGCAAAGGUAGAUAAAGCCCUUCAUCAAUGAGAAGCAAAGAAGAACAAAGCUGAGGUUUGCAUAAUACCAUAAGGGUCAUAGGCGUGCGCAGCCUAUUGCAUUAGGGUGUGCACCCUAAAGCACAAGCCGCAUAUAUAUGUAUGUGUGUGUGUGUGUGUGUGUGUAUGUAUGUAUGUAUGUGUGAGUAUAUAUAUAUAUGUGUGUAUAUAUAUAUAUAUAUAUAUAUAUAUAUACAUACACACACUGCUCUGUGUGUGACGGUGCUGGUAGUGUGCUAUGUGGGUGAGGGUGUUUGUGUGUGCGUGCUUGUGAGGAUGCUGUUAAUGUACUGUGUGUGAGGGUGCUGUUUGUGUGUGAGGGUACUGGUAGUGUGCUGUGUGUGUGUUAGGGUCCUGUUUGUGUUUGUGAGGGUACUGUUAGUGUGCUGUGUGUGUGUGUGAGGGUGCUGUUUGUGUGCUGUGUGUGUUUGUAAGGGUGCUGUAUGUGUGUGUGGGUGCUGUAUGUGUGUGGGUGCUGUAUGUGUGUUGGUGCUGUGUAUGUCUGUGGGUGCUGUGUAUGUCUGUGGGUGCUGUGUAUGUCUGUGGCUGCUGUAUGUCUGUGUGGGUGCUGUAUGUCUGUGUGGGUGCUGUGUAUGUCUGUGUGGGUGCUGUGUAUGUCUGUGUGGGUGCUGUAUGUGUGUGGGUGCUGUGUAUGUCUGUGGGUGCUGUCUGGGUGCUGUAUGUGUGUGUGGGUGCUGUAUGUGUGUGUGCUGUGUAUGUGGGUGGGUGAUUGUGGGGGUGGAGGUGGGGGUACAUUAAUUGCUAUCCCCCCUCCCUUCUUACCUUUUGUAGGGAGGGGGGAUCGUGCUGCUGAUUCCAUCCCUGGUGAUCCAGUGGAGAGUGAACUCUAGCUCCCUGUGGGGCUAGAGUUCACUCUCGCGAGAUUUGAGCGUUGCCGUGGCAACGCUCAUAUCUCGCGAGAGGAACCCGGCGGAGCUGCCGGCAAUAGCUCCGCCGGUCCUCUCCUGCCUCCCUCCCUGCAUGUGGGUCAGUGGGGAGGGAGGCUGAGAGCAGAGCCGGCGCUCGGAUAGCGCCGGCUCUGCAUGAGCCAGCAGGGGAGAUCCUGAGAUCUCCCUUGCCGGUCUCACUGCUAGGCGUGCCACGGGGAUUAGGGUGUGCCCAGGCACACCCGGCACACCCCGUGCGCACGCCUAUGAUAAGGGUUGGACCAUAGAGUACUGGGGUAAGGUCAUCUUCUCUGAUGAGUCCAGUUUUUAGCUUUGUCCAACACCUGAUCAUCUAAUGGUUAAAUGGAGAACUGGAGAGGCCUACAAGCAACAGUCUCUCACACCCACUGUGAAGUUUGGUGGAGGAUCAGUAAUAAUCUGGGGUGCUUCAGCAAGGAAUUGGGCAGUUUUAUCUUUGUGAAUGAUGCAUAAAUCAAGCCAUGUACAAGGUUGUCUUACACAAAAACAUGCUCCUUUGUGCUCUGACACAACCUCAUUGAAAAAUUCUGGAAUGUGAUCAAGAGGAAGACGGAUGGUCGCGAGGCCAUCAAACAUAGUUAAGCUACUUGAAUUUUUGCACUAAGACUUGUGAUUUUUAGAGGCGACCCCUCCUUUUCUUUAAGAUAUGUAGAAGACUUGUAUAUCUCAGGAGAUAGAAAGUAUAUAAUAUAAUGUUGCAUUGAGAAAUUGUAUAUGUUGUAAAUAGAAUAAUAUACUCACAACUACAGAGACUUUGCAAUGGCUAAGUAAAAACAGCUUUCUUUGGAAAAAUAAGUAAUUUAUUCAGCACAUUAGAUGUGAUAUCACAGAAAUAUUUUGCAUUUUAAUUACAAAUCCACUGUAUAAAGGCUUUGCAGUAGUUGUGGUAUUGGUGUGUUUUGUGGAAUUAUGCACUACAGUGUGGUAUCUGCUCACUUUAAAAAGUGUUGAAGUAUAUAUAUUGAUAUUUAAAUAUUAAAUCACUUUCUUGUGCUUUUGCACACAUACUUUUUUUAAAGUAUUAUAAAAUGUAUAUUAUUUAUUUAGAGUAAAUUAUCUGCAAACAAAUCUUAAUUAUUGGUGGAAAAUGGUAGUAUACCAGAAUGAAAAGUUAGAUUAAAACUUAAAUGCUACUCUCCAGGCCCAUUCGCAGCACAUUAAUAUAUCAUUAUUAUUAUACAGGCUUAAUUUAUUUAAAUAAUACAAUACUGUCAGCUCUUUAAGGUUUGUGUGAUGUAACAACACACCCACACUGCAUCAUCAGCUCCAGAAAACCUUUACUGGGUUGCCAUGGUAAUACAUUUCUUUCUGACGCAGAAGCUACAAAUAUGUUUAACCUACUAUUUUAGACAGAACAUAAAUUGCAGCCUUACUCUGUUACAGCUUUCAAUUCUUCAGUUUCAGGCCUCUUCAUCAAAUAUUUGACCAAAUGGAAGAUAAAUAGUUGGAGUUUCCCGGUUUUAGCAAAGAGGGGAGAAAUUCACUGACACUUUUCUUUUUUUAAUGCUCCAGAAUUGUAGUUUACACUGUCAGAAAAAUGCGAUGCAAAGAAAAAAAUGGCAACCCCAGAAAUGAAUGACACCGUCUCUCAGCUUUUUGCAUUCUCCUUAGUGAUCCCCAUAUUAGAUUAAAACCAUCAUAAAUCGGUCUGCAAGAAAUAUUUUCCUCUUGAUUAGGAAAACUAGUACUACUCAAGUAUGUCUUGAGUUAUAAUUUCUGAGCAAAUCACACCAGAGGCAUUGCUUGCACUAGAAAAUCCGGCCCAACAGAUGUUGCUGAACUACAACUCCCAUGAUUCUCUGGCUAUCUAUGUAAUUCAAAGAAUCAUGGGAGUUGUAGUUCAGCAACAUCUGGAGGGCCACAGUUUGAGGACCCCUGCACUAGAAGAAGGCAUGUCAUCUUGUACUAGCUAAUGCUUGUUAUCCAUACCUAAUAAUCUUUUCUAUCCACCUUCCAUGUCAGAGGUGGACAGGGAAGAGAACAGGGUCGGUGUGGGGUGCAGGCCUACCUGGCAUGGGCCCACUGCUUAAUAGGGUGACUAACAGCCUGCCCCAUAACCAAACCAUACAAGGUGCACUGUUAAAGCAAAAUGUGCAUUGUUCUAGUACCUAGUCAUCUCCUCCUGUAUUUUGAAGUCUACCAGCACGUUUCAAACUGCAAGACAAUGCCGGGACCUAUAUUUAUUGUGACAGUACCCCAAAAUACGGGACUGUACCGGCAAAUGCAAGACUGUUGCUACCUACAGUUAUCCAGUAUGUCUUCAAAUUAACACUCAUUUAAAAUGCAUUCAACGAACAGUGGCAUAACAGUUUGGUUGCAACGGUGUCUGAAGCACUCCAUCAAUGGAUCUAUAUCAUAUAGAAACAUGUUAGUUCUACAUAGACAAAAAAAAAUAUUCUCUACAUAUUCUGACUGAUUAUUUCUCUCAUGAGAUACAUGUUUAUCAAGGACCAUUUUUAGAGGAUUGCUCUUGCAGCACCAGGGCUCAGAUACUCACUAGGAACAGCUGCAUUUUUUGUCUUCCAAAUGUAGAAAAGGGUAAUCUAGUUCAUAGUGGCUUUGCAAAUUUGCAAAAUAGAUUCCACAAUCUUUGGACAGGGAAAGUAGAUUUUGAAAGACUUAAUCUAUAUAUAUAUAUAUAUGUAUGUAUAUAAAUAUAUUGAAUAGCACAACUACACUGAACAAAGUUAUAAAUGCAACACUUUUGUUUUUGCUCUCAUUUUUCAUGAGCUGAACUCAUGAACUCUAAGACUUUUUCCACGUACACAAAAGGCCUAUUUCUCUCAAAUAUUGUUCACAAAUCUGUCUAAAUCUGUGUUAGUGAGCUCUUCUCCUUUGCCGAGAUAAUCCAUCCACCUCACAGGUGUGGCAUAUCAAGAUGCUGAUUAGGCUGGCCACAAUAAAAGGCCACUCUAAAAUGUGCAGUUUUACUGUAUUAGGGGGAUCCAGAGGGGUCUGAAAAACAGUCAGUAUCUGGUGUGACCACCAUUUGCCUCACACAGUGCAACACAUCUCCUUUCGCAUAGAGUUUAUGAGGUUGUUGAUUGUGGCCUGUGCAAUGUUGGUCCACUCCUCUUCAGUGGCAGUGAAAAGUUGCUGUAUAUUGGCAGGACCUGGAACACGCUGUCAUAUACGCCAAUCCAGAGCAUCCCAAACAUGCUCAAUGGGUGACAUGUCCGGUAUUACUGAACUGGAGGCCAUUACUUAUGAGCAAUGUGCUAUGAUUCCUCAGGAACGCUGACAGAAGCUGGUGUCUGGCUAUGCAUCUCAUUUGCAGCAGGUCAUAAUAGCAAAAGGGUGCUCUACCAAGUACUAAAGAUGAUUGAUAAUGGUUCAAUAGUUGUGAGACUGGAGAACUCAUUUUCAGUUAAAUUUGGGGAAGCCACUUGAAGCAUUUGUUGUAUUGCGCUUUUUCAAUUGCUUUUGUUUGAUUUAUUAAUUGCAAACAGUUGAAAGUCUGUAAUUUGACAAUAAAGCUGAUUUUCCAUGGGGUUGAAUAAUUUUGAUUACAAAUAAAUAUAUAUAUAUGAUUUCUUCACCCUUGCUGGGUGGUAUAUUUAUUCUGUAUUCUUGGGUCCUCUGCAAGAGGCCUGGGAGUCUGAGGGUUCUGUGCAGUAUCUUGGCUAGAACUGAACUCUUCUGGACAGCAAUCUCAGAUGUUCCACCUGGAAUCUGUUAAAGCCACAACCCCAACUUGGGAGUUGCAACUGUUAGUUCAUUCAUUGGUGUUUGUUCAUCUUCUCAUGUUCUUCCUUAUGUUAUAGCCUGGAUCUGGAAGACCCAGAGGAUCUAAGCCCUGUUAUUCUUAACUACCCUUUAUGAUUUUUCCCAUCUGGACUUAGGCAGGUCCAGCCCAUAUUUUAUGCAGAUGAUGGAAUAUAAAUACACAAUAUCACAAUUUGCAUAUUUAUUUUUUAUUUUUUGUUAAACGGACAGAUCAUGUGAUGGAAUACGAUAUGGAAUACCAUAUUGUAUGGAUGGUGAUGUCAUCCAUGCAAAUUGUCCAUUCAAUGAAGAAUAACAAAGCAGGGACCACCUCUGUGCAUUAUUGGGUUCCUAAUCUUGGGCAUCACUGGGAGAUAUAUGUGCUAAUCUGUUCUACAUUAGUGGGAAUUACACUGCCAAGCGGUACACGGUUUUAAUGACAGCAAUUGAAAUAUAAACUGGGGCUGUAAUUGGGACUGGGACUGUUCCAGUGCUGAUCCUUAUAGUAAAAUCCCCCCUUUAACCUCCACAUUACCCUAAAACACUGUGGUAUGUUGUACUAAACAUCAACGCUACACUACAAUAACAGGAUAACCAAAUAUUAACCCCUACAAUACACAGUCACUAAACUUUCACCCCUGCACCACAUUAAUAAUAAUAAUAAUAAUAAUAAUAAUUAAAAAAAACAUUAACAUCUACACUUAGAGCAUAAGAUUUCAAGUCCUAUACUACAAGCCAGGCCUGCACUACCUUACCACACCAAUAGUAAUCCUAAUUUAACAAUAUAGUGUAAUGUAAAAAAAAUACAUAAUGAAAUACAGAGAUGUACCCAGGUUACCUGUUACACGGACGAAAAAUGUAUAUUGAUACCCCUUACCUCCCCGCCUCAUUUCUAUUCAAUGCCUCUAACACCCUUUUGUUAGGAUAAUUACAAACACACAUGCUCAUAUUCAUUUAAAUACACACACACACACAUUCAUAUAGACAUGCUCACAUUUGUACACACACUCAAUCAUUCAUACACAUAGAAGCUCACAUUCAUAUACACAUGCUCACAUUUAUAUACACACACAAAAAACACAUACAUACUCACACACACACACAUUUGAUUUGUGUUUACUGCUGGUAUUAGUCUAUUCACUAAAUGCAAAGCUCCCUGCAACUCAAUAUUGAUGUUGGUGCUAGGGUGAUGUUACACCAGAGCAUCAAUACAGGCCUGCAUGGUCUGCCCAUUUAAAUUCUGCUCAGAGUCUCUGUGCAAUCCUCUGUUCCCCUUCACCAAGAUAGAGUCUAUUUCUCCAGUAGAACUCUUACUGGAGUAGUAUGUAUUGGAAAUGAGUGCCAUCUUGGGUUUCUGGAGAUAUUUAUGAAGUACUCAUCCUUCAGUCGUGUGGUGUGGAUGGAUGGAUGGAUGGAUGGGUACCUGCAUUCUUUACACAUGACGAUUAAAAUCAUACUUCGAUUUCUCAGCACCCUUGCAGCUCUCUGAAUGUAAACAUCUUUAUCUUGUGCUGAGUGACUAACACCAGUGCUAGCCCCCAGUGCUUUUCUAAAAAUAAGUCGAGUUAAGCAACAGUCAUGGGAAUACAAAAAGUUCCUCUGUAAUUGCUCAGUUAAAAAAUAAUGGCUUUAGCAUGCAGCGUGACAAACCAUACCUCAUUAUUCAUUGAAAUCGCUUCCAUGCAAACUUAUAAUGACAAAAUAUAAAUGACAUCUGGGAUCUGGGAGCUUUGACACUGCAAGGGAUUAUGGAUAUGUACACGCAAUAUUAUUCAAAACUGACAAUUUUAGUUGUUUUUGAAACAGAAAUACAAAAACACUAACUGCUUUCCCAGAUCACUGUAACUGUCGAUCAGCCUUUGACGAGUUCUUUCCUAUUCAUUAAUGUGGUAUAUUGAUUCAGACAGAAUGUACAGUGUUUGCUCCAAACCAAGGAAAACAUUGGGUAUCUCUGCAUCUACUCUGGAAUUAUACAUAUCUGUUAUUUACCAUGGCUGAAGAUGUAGCUAUACAAUCGUUGGAAAUUAGAUUCUGAUUUUAGUAACUGACACAUGUUUACAGAAGUUUAUUUUCAAUCCUGGGGCUGAAUUCUGUGAUGAGUGUUUACAGUUCUGCAAUAAUGCUGUAAGUAACAUAAAAGAGCUUAAUUAUCAUUGCAUUUUUGUAAUGCCAAGCAUCAUUUACAUAACUGGGUACAUUUCAUUUCCCAAUGCCAUAAUCCAGCAGUACACACCCCUUGCAGUACACUGCUUAUGGAGUCUUACGGGUAGGAAAGUAAGGGUUAAGGGGUGUUUUGAGAUUAAGUAGGUUAUAGCUAAGGGUCAAGAGGAACUUUAAGUUAGAUGUACCUGUAUUGAAGCUGCGGCAAACUUUAACUCCUUUCCUCUAAAAAAAUGCUGCUCCUGGCUGACAGUAACCAGCAUUACAAUCCACAGUUGUUUUACAGCAGGAAACCCCUGUUGACUAAGACUACUGCACUCCAACUCUCAACCCUAAAAUAGUACUCGAACCAUAAUCCCGCUCUAAUCCUAACCUUGCCUUUUGAAUGACAGUCUAAGGGCAUGGUGGUGCUCCUAUGAACAGAGUGUUUUCAACACAGACGUUUUAAAUAUAUACACGUUUAGCAGAUUACAGCCCCUUGAUUUUACAGAAAAUGUAAUGUAUAUGAUUAAUUAAAAUCCUCCUUAACAGAAUUGUAAUCUGAAAUCCACAGAUUUUUUUUUUACAAUUUAGCACAUAUAACCCAAAUGAAAACAUGCAUGCAUUUAAUUAUGCAUUUUUCCAUUCAGGGUUUAACUAUUAACACCCUGCAACACCUACAGGUCUCAUGUUUACUGCCUUUGCAAGCCCUCCCAUUCUAACCUCGCCCAGACUUUCUGUGGCUGUCCAAUCACAGACUUCCCAAUGCAGCUCAAUGAGAAGUCUUUGCAAAGCAGCUGCUCUAGGCAAUUGCUGCCUCUUGAGUUUAGCUACACUGAGCUAACCAAACCAGGAAUUAAUAUGACGAUUGUUUGAUUGACAGCCAGGAGGGGUGUAACAAGGUUAAUUUAUAAAAGUGCCACUUUCUAUUGAAAACUGCCCUUUCUGCAAAAUUUAAAAAAAGAAACAACUAAAAAAAAAAAACCUCUUCACACAUAAAGCAUUACAGCAAUCUAAAGUACUUUAAGUGUGUGGAGUGUCCCUUUAAUAGGGAUUAUUGUUAUUUUCUGCUAUUCAUUUUUUUUUUAUAAUUUUAACAAAAUUAACUUUUCUAGGUGCAGCUGUUGCGGGAAUUUACCAAGUGGCCGGAAAAAACAUGGCCCCUCUUGAAGCAUUGGUGUUUGGAGUUGGACAGACAGUGCUGACAGUGAUUAUAUCCUUUUCACGAGUCCUUGCUACUCUGUAAAACUCAAUCACGAGAGUCCGAACAUCUGACAAGAAAGCUUUCCAGUUGGAGAUUAAGUCUUCUGAGGGCAGAUAAUUGAUGAUUAGGCUGGGAUUCUUGAAGAAAUCAAGAAGAACUGUACACCAGGUCAUUUCUCUGGUGAUGUAGUAUGGCGUGCUGAAGAUCACGAAAUAACAGUGUAUUUAAUGCACUGAACAGUUUUAGAAGGAGAUUCAUCUAUUGUAAGUGGAGUAGCUUUUGAUUGGCAAGCUGUUGCACUAAUAAACUGCACAGCACCUUACGUGCCUCAGUUAAGAGCAAGGUGCAAUCAAUUUUCUAUAAUGCUGCAGGAAUAAGCACCUUGCAGAAGUGUCAAUGUGGCCCUCUAGUGGCAUAAGUAUGGCUGUACGGCAGUGAUGUUCCAUACUGUGCUACGGGGAGCUGCCAUGUAACACUAAUUAGGUUUAACAAAUUAAUAGAGAAGUGUGAAAAAGUAUGUAGCUUGUGAAUGUGAUGAUGGGUUUUUUUUUUUAGAGACACAGAUGGAAGACCACUGCCUCGUAACUUAGAACAGACAACAGGGAUAUAAUAUUUGUGCCAAAUGAUUCUCUUCCUUUGUUUUUAUAUAUUUGUAAUGUGUUUGAUUCUGAAAUGCUGACUGUGACUACAUUGGUGCAAAGGAUAUGUUCUUUUUUGGAAUGAUUAAUAUUUUACAAUAUGAAAGCACAACGGUUGUUGUUUUACAUAUGUGGAGGGAUUCGGCAAUCUGCAGCCCUCUUAAUGCUUUUGGACUACAACAACCAUUCGCUUCUGAAGCUGGAAAACCCUAAUUUGAUCAAUCAGGCUGGUAUCAAUGUUAUACAUACUGACAGCAAUUUAAAUUUUAGAUUUGACACAUGCAGAAGCAAUCUUAUAACGUGUAUAUUGCUUAGGUAAGUGAAUUGCUAUAUUAUGAAUUUGUAUAGUGUGUGUAGUAUUCUGCCUCACCAUGAGUGUUGAUCACCAUCUGAUUGUCUAGUUUAACUACUAAACUGUAAACGUUGAUAACCUAAUAACCAGCUUAACAAAUCCAGGUUACCAAAUCCAAGCUGAGGAAAUAGAGGGCUUUAUUCACUAAACAAUUAAUGGUGAAUUGUUUACCAGACAGCAAAGUUUACGCCAAAGUAGCUAAUUUGGAAAAAAAAAUACUCCUACUUUACUGUAAUCACAGCUUGGCUAUUUUAGCAACCAUUUUGUUAUUUGGUUUUUAAUUCACUCCAAUUCUAUAUUUGAGUAAUCUUCAUUGUGUUAAAGGGACACUAUAGUCACCUGAACAACUUUAGCUUAAUGAAGCAGUUUUGGUGUAUAGAACAUGCCCCUGCAGCCUCACUGCUCAAUCCUCUGCCAUUUAGGAGUUAAAUCCCUUUGUUUCUGAACCCUAGUCACACCUCCCUGCAUGUGACUUGCACAGCCUUCCAUAAACACUUCCUGUAAAGAGAGCCCUAUUUAGGCUUUCUUUAUUGCAAGUUCUGUUUAAUUAAGAUUUUCUUAUCCCCUGCUAUGUUAAUAGCUUGCUAGACCCUGCAAGAGCCUCCUGUAUGUGAUUAAAGUUCAAUUUAGAGAUUGAGAUACAAUUAUUUAAGGUAAAUUACAUCUGUUUGAAAGUGAAACCAGUUUGUUUUUUUUGUUUUUUUCAUGCAGGCUCUGUCAAUCAUAGCCAGAGGAGGUGUGGCUAGGGCUGCAUAAACAGAAACAAAGUGAUUUAACUCCUAAAUGACCGUGAAUUGAGCAGUGAAAUUGCAGGGGAAUGAUCUAUACACUAAAACUGCUUUAUUAAGCUAAAGUAAUUUAGGUGACUAUAGUGUUCCUUUAACAUUUUCCCUAUGAUGUUGUAUUUUGGUAGAAUAUAUAACUUUGCAUAAAAUAUUUAUUAUUGGCUUAAACACAAAUUUGCAUAAAGGCUUUUACGGAUACAUUUUAGGAUUUGAUUCUGUAUGCUAGAAAAAAACAAAACAGCUCUUUCCUUUUAUUUUAAAACAAAUUAAUUAGUUAAAUAAUUCCAAUCUGCAAAAUACACAAUUCCUUCACUUAAUUUUUCAUUUCUUUCCUUAUGUUUUCAAUCAGCACAUUUGACAUUUAGUAAAUACAUUGAGUCCAACUAGGGAUGUCCUUCGCUGUACAAAAAUUAUUCCUUAAAUUGGCAAAUUCAAUGUCACUUUAAAUAUUGUAAACACAACUUGGCAACUUAUGUACCUCCUUGCAAAACUAGCAGUUAAAACUGCAUUUAGACUAGGGUUCUUAUACUGUAUAACAUUGUAAAGAGACACGCCAGGCACCAAUAUAAUGUUGAUGCAUUUGAUAGAUCUUUGCCGUCAUUUUUUGUCAAAUAUAUAGAUUUUGCAUUAAAAAAAAGUAAGUUUUGCAGAAUGCUGCUUCCUAAGCCUGCUUCCGUAGCCACUCCCCUUACUCCAGAAAGACUUCCUUAUUAAAGGUACCCAGACUUAGCCCCAACAGCACUGAGUGAGCGGCUUUAAAUUCAUAAUUUCAAAACUGACUGCAGACAGUCAGGGAAACAAAACGCAUGUAGUGAUAUCCUUACUAUGGGUCUCCCUGGGUGUCCAUUUCUUUCUAAUGCAGGUUGCUUUGUAGUUCAGAUCACUCGGUGCUGUCAGUGAUUAGCUGUGUGCAUAUGUUUUGAUAAGGAAGUAUUUUUUUUUGAGGGGGUGUGGCUAAGGAGGCAGGCUGAAGUAAAAUAUGAAUGAUUUGUCCGAAACCCCAAUUAUUUUAUUACAGUGUUCAAUGUUGAUAUUUGUUAAUAGAAAAAUGGGACAAAAUUCCAAAAGUGGAAGCAUUCACAAUUUGGCAACACUUUUCCAUUGUAGAACAUUUUAAGAAAUGUCCCUUUUGCAUUUAAGAGAGGCAGGUAUAGAGUUUGCUGCAAUGCACUUUUUAACAAGUCUGUGGUCACUUUGUUGGUUAAUAUAACGGAAACAGGCCUACAGCUGUAUUGUCAAUGCUGAACUUGCAGAUAAUCUAUUUCUACAUUUAUGUUUACCAAGAAAUGUAUUCUGUAACUCAGGACACAUGUAACCCCUGUAUGUCAAAAUUACAUAGAUUUUUUUUAUUUACUAAAUAGUAAGAUGUUUUUUGUUGUUGUUGUUUUUAAGCCAUGCUGGCCUAAAGUUUGCUAUUAGCUCAC